CUCCUGGAAAGCUACACAAAAACUUAAGCUAAUCCAUACAGACGUGGGAGGACCCCUAAGCACUCCUUCCUUGAACAUUGGCAGAUAUUAUGUGCUAUUUAUUGAUGAUUACUCUCGAAUGUGUUGGAACUAUUUCCUCAAAUUGAAAUCUGAAGUGGCUAGCGUAUUCUCGAAGUUCAAAAACCUGGUUGAAACUCAGAGUGGCUGCAAGAUUCAGGUGUUACGAUCUGAUAAUGGUACUGAAUAUACCUCCUCCGAAUUCAGCUCUAUCUGUGACAAAGCUGGCAUUGAACAUCAACUUACAACUCCUUAUACCCCUCCAACAGAAUUGGGUCAGUGAGCGACGAAAUCGGUACCUUAUGGAGAUGGCUCGUUGUCUAAUACAUGAAAAUGGCUUGCCGAAGAGCUUCUGGGCGGAGGCUGCACGCACUGCUGUGUUUUUACAGAAUCGUCUGCUCACUGCUGUGACCAAUGUUACUCCUUUUGAAGCUUGGUAUGGUAUCAAACCUUCCUUUAGUUUUCUAAGAGUUUUUGGAUGCCUUUGCUAUGUUCAUAUACCUUCAUCUAAACGUGACAAACUAGACAAGAAAGAACAGAAAUGAAACUGAAAUCAAACAUAAACUGAAAUUAAUCCAACUCGCAUGAAUCGUUAAAUAUAAUAAAAUCAUUCGUUCAUAAGGAUAUACCUAAGGUUCAUCUAAUAUAAGCACGAAAAAGUUUAGCUGCUUAUAAUCUUGAAAGACAAAUAAAAAUUAGAAGAGGAAGACAUUGGCUCUAGGUUUACACAAAGAAUUAUAAAAAACCUAAUUUCACUAACCUUCCCGAGAGCUUGAUUCGCCGUCUUGAUUACUUCGCGGAUUACAAGCUCCUUGAAAUUGCUUCUAAGUCUCUCUCAAAUAUCUCAAUAAAACUCUCAAUUUGGUCCAAGGAAGUCUAUCUUUGAAUGAGGGAGAACUUUGCUUUAAAUAAGAUUUCAAAAAUUUCCUUUUAAUCCCGGAAUGUCAACAUUAGCGCUAUAGUACAAAUUAACUAUUUCAUAACGCCAAAAUUGCAUGAGGUUCUAGAGAGGAUGGUCAGUAUUGGCGCUAUAUACAUGUUUAAUUUUGCGCUAUGCCAUAGUGUCAAGUUUGACCAUGCAUAGCGCCAAUAUUGACAGCGUGCAGCCCCUUGAGGAUUUCUUCUCGAUUCAAUCAUCCUAGCUCGUUCCUGCAUGGUCGUAUUGCUCCGAAUAGUGCCUCAACACCGUCCUGUACGUGAAAUCUCAUAAAACCACUCGAAAACAACAUCAAAAGGACACCGAACGGGUCCAAGACACUAAAUCGAGAUAGAUGAUAGAAAUUAACGAAACAUCCUAAACUUCUACCGUUAACUAGACAAAUAUGCAUGAAAUGUCGCUUACACGUCGGCAAUGAACAUGACAAUCGAGUGUCAUCAAAUAACCCCACACUUAAACUUUGCUUGUUCUCAAGCCAAAGGCUGAUAAAAGCCAUGGAACACAUCUACAAUCAAAUCAACUACUAACAACGCAAAGAAAAUCCAUAACCCUGAAUACAUUCCUAAAUUUCUUAAUAAACAAAUGAACCGUUAAACAAACUCAAAUAGGACGUAAAGGCCUCACAAGAAGUUCUCCAACUUGCCACACAUCAUCAAACACGUUACACCAACCAUCUAGACUUACUGUCGAGGGAAAUUCGGCUUAAAGAUGAAGCCAAUAAUGAACUCACACAUAGUGUUUUAAGGAAAGUGUUUAUGCACUCAUCAUCAACACUUGCAUAUCAACCUACUCCUACUCAUCACAUCAAGGCACUUCAAGCAUUAAUGUGGACAGAAAAGAGAAGAAAAGGUGAAGUGACUUUUGGUGGUGGGUGUACUUAGCAGCGAACGACUCGGUCUACUCUAAUAUGGAGUUAAGCUACUAAUCACAAACAAUGUUAUGCAAGGAUCUCAAAAUUCUAAGAGCUCAAACUAGCUUGUGUAUCCCUUAUGUACAAACAUAUACUUCGAGCAUUUGUGCUAGUUCAUUCAACUAGCUCGAGACCUUAUCGUCUUCUUUUGAUUUUUCUAUUUUUCUUCUAUCGAGACUCGGUUUUUUUACUUGUCUCCUUCUUCUUUUCGAGAUUUUCAAAAUGUGUAUCUAUUUCUCAUUUUUUCGAGAUUCUAUAUAUACAUCAAACUGAACAAGGGAGACUAUAUAAUUCUGCAUUCUUCAAACUUAGCAACUCUUACUCCUAGACCGACCGAGUUACAUGCUACUAAUGUACACAUGAUAAAAUGAAGGCUUGAACGAAAGGGGAUACAAUAUUAUGGGGGGUUAUGAAAAAAGCUUUUUGGUUAUGAUAGGGUUACCCAGGCGAAAAAAAUAUAAGGACGAGAUGGAUAUUUUUUGGUGGAGCUUUUCCAAGUGCCUCUAUCAUUUUAGGGCAUUAGUGAUAAGCGAAUUCUGAGCGGUAUAGGAUUAACAACAAAUAGAGAAGACCACUCAAAAUAUUUUAAGAACAAAUCUACUAAUGAAGCAGAUUAUCUAUACUACAAAAUGGUCUUUGAAGCCUCAUAAUAUUUUGUUAGAUGGUAAUUUGGUAACAUGCAUGUCUGGUCACAUCAAGUUAGAGAGUCCGUGCUACUUUAAACACAUAGAAAGUAACUCUAAAGAAUGAAUCAAUAGACUUUGUUCAUUGGCGAAUACUCUUAUCAAAUCUAGGUUCACAAGUAAAUCACCAAUUCAAGUGCACAAAUCACAUGGAAAUUUUCUAUGCAUGCCAAGCAAUUAAUUUAAAGAUAGCUCCAACAAGCUUCAGUUUAGAACUCUCAUGUAAGACAACUACCCAACAAGACUAGCUUACAAAAAUCCUAUUAAAACUCACCCUAAACGUAGUUUGGAUAGUGUCCUCACUAAAUGAAACGAAAAGUUGCAUAGGAUAAUCUAGAUGGUGAUAGAAAUCCUAAAAAUACUCGAUACACGAUCAUGAAGUUCAUACUCGGCGGCGAACUAACUCCUGAAAAACACUCAAAAUCACACAAAACCAAAAUAAAGGUAAAAAGGGACUAGGAAAAGUGUCCAAGUCCCACAGAUAAUAAAAGUGGGUACACUAUCCAAAAAGAAAGAAAUAAAAAUACAAAGACAUAACGAUGAUACUCGAGCAGUAGUCGUCUGAUCGAGGCGAGUGUGGUGGGCUCGAAUAUUCGGUCUGAUGCUGAGUGAGGUAGUGCAGGUAGUAUAGCUGCUCAUCAUGGUGCUCCUGCUCCACUCUCCUCUGCUCGAUUUGUGAAGCCCGAUGUCCAAAUUCAAACAACGUAUGCCAUGCUAUCAGUGGAUGUUUCCAUGGAAGACUCCCCUCCCCAAAGUUGAUCUACUAGUGCGGGACUGACCUCAUCAUGUCAGCAAACUCUGUCGGUGGUGGGUGGUAUCCAUGUGGUGGUGGCUAAGGUGGUGGGAAUCCAGCACUCAUCGGAGAAAACUAACGGACUGGGUUACCUUGUGCAAUAUCUAGCUCCUACUGAUGUGGAUAGUGGGAAGCCUCCUCCUCUCCUCCUGUCUAAUAUUGUGCUUGGGCUUGAAGUCAAGGGUGCCUCCUACCUCUCCCUUGGGUGGGGGUAUGCGGAGUGGGCUCUGCUGGCUCCCGAAUAAAGUGUCUGCAAGGCAAGGAAAAUCCACCAACUUUUAUACCCAGAAAAUACCGAGAAAAAUUCAUCAUUCGAUGACCUAAUCAUGCAAUUUCAAAGCUAGAAUCCUAGCAUACCCAAUUUGAAAAAUUAGGGUUCUUCAACCUAAUCAUCAAUCUCACGAAUCUGACCAAUUCGGGGCAAAGUAAACGAAGAUAAAGCUAGGCAUAGACACAUAGGGGUAGUACGUUGUAUUCACCAUAAUUGGAGGAGACCUAAAGAGUACCAACAAGCAAUAUCGGAGGUUUGGAUGAAACCGGAAAAAAGCACCAAACAAGCUCUAAACACACUCAGAAUGGAUGUAAAUCCACGAGGUAGUGUUAGGAGGCGGUCGCCGGCGGCCGGCAAAGGCUCGUCGGCAACGGGAGACGGUGGGUGCGGCGGGCGGCGAGUGAAGGGUUUGGUUUUGUGUCUUUCGGCAGUAGCUUUGAGAAGUUUGGGAAGAAAAUCUUGAAAAUCGCACAGAAGGGGUGAGAUAUUGCAAUACACGUGUCAACAUUGGUGCUAUAAUGUAAUGUUUAAGUUGGCACUAUGGUCCUACCGCCAAAUAAAACGUUUCAUAGCGCCAAAGUUGACAUGAAUUUCCAGAGAUCAUGGUCACUAUUGGCGCUAUAGAUGGUUUAAGUUGGCGCUAUGGUCAUAUCACCAAUUUAAACCGAGAUCAAUAGCGCCAAUAUUGACACUGCAACAUAUUUUUUUUUUGACAAUUCAAAAAAACUCAAUCCACUUAGCACCAAUAAUUUGGGGCAUGCAAUGGACUCUUGUAUCACGUUCUAGACUCGAUCUAAUAUCUAAACAUGCAAUUUGACGCAAAGAAAAUGAAAACGAACGACUCCAAGCAUGGUUGCCUCCCAUGAAGUGCUCUUUCUUUAAAGUCUUUGAGCUAGACGAUACCUGACCUUUCAUUGAACAUCCUCGAAUUAAUGAACUUUGACUGCAUCGAUAGUCUUUGCACCAAGAUAGCGCUUGAGACUGUGGCUGUUGACCUUGAAUGUCCCUUGAACUGGAUGUGCCAUCUCCAUAGUCUCGUAGGGGAAAGAUUGUGUGACUUCAUAAGGUCUUGACCAUCUUGAUUGCAAUUUUCCCAGAGAGAAAUAGUCUGAGGCGGGAGUUAUAAAGCAACACUUUUGUCUCCCUUUCGAACUCUUUGACACUUUGCACCUUUGCAUUGUGGAUGCAUUUCAUCUUCUCCUUGUACUCCUCUAGCUCAAAGAGCUAAUAUUUCCUUUAGGAAACUAUGAGACUAGAUCCAUGUUUAGUAACUUCAUGGCCCACCAUGCCUUAUGCUCAAGCUCCACCGAUAAAUGGCAAUCCUUGCCAUAAACUAGUCAAUACCAAAAAGUGCCGAUGGGGGUCUUGAAUGAGGUUUGAUAAGCCCAAAGAGCUUUAUCAAGCUGAAUCCACCAAUCCUUGUGAGACUGAUCGACUAUCCAUUCAAGAAUCUGAUUGAGUUCAUGAUUCGUCACUUUCGCUUGACCGCUUGCCUGUGGAUGGUAACCGGUGGUCAAUUGAUUAGUUACGCCAAAUUUUUGGCAAACUGGAUCGAAUUGACCCUGAAAGUUUGUACCCCUGUCACUUAUGAUAGAGCGAGGGUGUCGAAACGCAUGAAAAGGUGGGUGAUGACUUUCCCACAAUCCUAGCAUCGUUAGUAGGCAGUGUUUGUGCCUUUGCCCACUUUGAAACAUAAUCCACAGCAAAAAGAAUGUACUUAUACCAUGGAACUGUUGGAAAUGACCCAUAAAAUCAAUUCCCCACACAUAAAAAAUCUCUAUGGCAUGGAUAUUAUCAUUGGCAUUUCAUUCCUACUUGACAUGUUACCUGAACGUUGGCAUGUAUCACAGUUCUUCACGAAAUGUCAAUAAUCCUUCCAAAUUGUCCUCCAAUAGAAACCUGGAUAAAAAAUCUUCCGAGCGGGUCGGUUGACACAGUGAUGUCCUCCCAAAGGGACUGAUGUGGCAAUAGAGCAUGAUUUUGAGUGAUUCAUGCGCAAUGACACAUCUUCUGAUAACUCCAUCGGACCCCGAAGAGAUAGGGAUCAUUCCAGAUGUAAUGUUUGGUGUCAAAAAUCAGUUUCAUCUGCUGCUGAUCAGUGUAAUCCUCUGGAUAUAUCCUGGCAGGGAGGAAGUUAGCUAUCUCGGCAUACCAUGGGCGUUUGUCGGGGUGAUGCUCUGAGACUUCCUCUGCUUCUUCUAAGAGGAACAACUGUUCAUCUGGGAAGUGCUCAUUAAUUUUUGCUUCAGCAAAUCGACCUGGAAGAGGGCGUUGAUGGCAUGACAUAUGGUCUGCUGCAACGUUUUAUGCUCCUACCUUGUCCUUGAUAGAUAUGUCAAACUCUUGAAGGAGUAAGACCCAUCGAAUUAAUCUUGAUUUUGCAUCCUGUUUAGCUAGAAGAUACUUAAGAGCAUAAUGGUCAGUGAAAACCAUAAUAUGGGACAACACUAGAUAAGACCUGAACUUGUCAAAAGCGAAGACAAUCACCAAGAGCUCCUUCUCUGUAGUUGGGUAGGUCCUCUGCGCAUCAUUAAGCAUCUUGCUAGCGAAGUAGAUUGGAUGAAACCUCUUCUUUCACUGUUGUCCUAACACUGCUCCAACAGCAAAAUCACUAGCAUGACACAUCAGUUCAAAAGGGGCUUCCCAAUCCAGGGAGACAAGUAUCGGUACAGUUGUUAGCUUCUUCUUGAGGGAUUCAAAUUCCUGCAAACAUUUAUCAUAGAAUGAAAAUGGCACAUCUUUCUCUAACAACCUAGUCAUUGGCAAUGCAAUUUUAGAGGAAUCCUUAAUGAAUGAACGAUUGAAACCUGCAUGUCCUAAGAGGCUACGCAUAGUUUUAACAUUCAUAGGGGGAGGAAGUUGAGAGAUGGUUUCGAGCAUAGCUCGAUCCACCUAAAUACCUCGUUUGGCGACCCUAUGGCCUAGCACGAUCACCUUCUCCACCAUAAAGUUGAACUUCUACCAAUUUAGUGCUAAGUUGGUCUCCUCAUACCUUGCAAGCACCUUCUCCAAAUUUUCUAGACAUCUAGAGAACGAAUCUCCAUAAACAGAGAAGUCAUCAAUGGCGACUUUGACAACAUCUUCUAGUAAAUGCCCAAAAAUUUGCUUCAUACAGCCUUGAAACGUCGCAGGUGCAUUGGACAGACCGAAAGGGGUGUGCUAAUAUGUGAAUGUGCCGAAGGGGCAUGUGAAUGUCAUUUUAUCUUGGUCUUCUGGCUGAUUGGGAUCUAGAAGUAGCCAGACAUUCCAUCUAGGAAGCUGUAAAACUCAUGACCGUCAAGGCGCUCCACCAUCUGAUCAAUUAAAGGCAUGGGAAAGUGAACUUUCUUCGUACCAUCAUUGAGGCGCCUGUAAUCAAUACACAUUCUCCAUCCGGUUACUGCCCGAGUAGGGAUGAGCUCUCCCUUGUUGUUAGGCACAGGCGUGAAUCCACCCUUCUUUGGCAGAACCUGCGUAAGACUAACCCAGGGACUGUCAGAAAUUGGAUAAAUGAUACCUGCAUCUAGGAAUUUGAGUGACUCCUUUUUUCAUAACUUUCUUCAUAGCUGGGUUCAGACAGCGUUGUUGUUGUGCUACUGGUUUAACAUCAGCUUCCAAGUUGAUAUUUUUGGUGCAUAAUGAGGGACCGAUUCCCUUAAUAUCUGCAAGCUUCCACGCUAUGGUUUGUUCAUACUUCUUCAAGAGAGGUUGAAGUUCCUCCUUCUGUUGAAGUUAAAGCUUUGAGUUGAUCAUGACUAGUAAUUUCAAACCCUCUCUGAGAAUUGCAUACUCAAGAUGGUCUGGAAGCAGCUUCAGCUCCAACUCCAGUGGCUCUUCAUAUGAUGUAGUUAUCUUGGGGAUGUUUGGAAGUUCCAUCAUCGGUGGCGCACCGGAGUAGGUCUCGAGCUGUUCAAGGGCUUUUGCUUGUGCCCUCUGCUCAAUGUCAUUCAUCCAGUCUCCACAAACACCUGUGAUAGUACAGACAUCUCCAACAAGCAUAUGAGAUAAUUCAAACAUUUCAAAGGCAUCUUGAUAGUUUUCAGAAAUAUCAUCAUCAUCAUUCUAAGCCUUAGAAUAUGAGACUUCUUUCUAACGAAAUGUGACCUUAUCUUGUCCUACUUUCAAUGUUAAACACCCUUUGCAAACAUUAAUCACAGCUUUAACAGUAGCUAGGAUAGGACGUCCUAACAAAAUAUUGCAGUAAUCUUCAUGGGUAUCUAGCACAACAAAAUUAGUAGGAAAUUCAAAAGGUCCUACACAAAUAGGCACAUCUUCUAUGACUACCCUAGGUUUCACCAUAGAUCUAUUAGCAAGUUGAAAGAUCAUCUUAGUCGGUCUAAGUUCACCUUAGUUUAGUUUCUAAACAAAUAUGUUGCAUCACAUUUAUACUAGCACCUAGAUCAGCAAGACUUCUAUCAACUUUAAUAUUCUUAAUAGGGCAAGGUAAAGUAAAGCACCCUAGGUCUUUUCGCUUUGUCGGACCAACUUGGAUAGCUGCACCUUCUUCAUAUAUGGAGACCUCUGUUUCAUCAUCGAGAUUUAUCUUCUUGUUUAGCACAUCGUUCAAGAACUUGGCAUUCGAUUGCCAAGACGAAGCUUCCUCUCAACUAGAGGAACUAUUGUGAUGAGCACAAUGCCUGGAGAAACAAACUCAAAGCAAUUGUGUUUAACCAACAAAUCAUCCCACGCUUAUCUUUUGCUUAAAACAAUGUGCAUCAAUUUGUAGCAAAAGAUAAGAAUGGGUUAAGCAACCAUUAGUGAACAACCCUCAUAAAUACGCAAUCAACAGCAAAAAUCAAGUUUAACAUAUUCAAGGAAUUCCAAAUGAAGCAUAAGGCACUAAGAAACAAUCCAAAAGUCAUACAAGCAAUGCAAGGCAAGGAAAAUUCCACCAACUUUCGUACCCGGAAAAUACACCAAAAAUACCGAGAAAAAUUCAUCAUUUCUACAUGCAAUUUCAAAGCUAGAAUCCUAGCAUACCCAAUUUCAAUCUAGCACCAUCAAUUUUACAAAACCCCAUACUCGAAAAAUUAGGGUUCUUCAACCUAAUUAUCAAUCUCACUAAUCUGACCCAUUCGGGGCAAAGUAAACGAUGAAAAGGUAGGCAUAUACACAUAGGGGUAGUACGUUGAUCUCAUAGUUGGAAUCAUCGUGCUCAGAAAGAACCGCACUCGAUGUGGAGUUUGUAGCACUAGGCUUGGUGUAAUCGGCAACGGUUGUUACUGCUAUCAGUGCUUCGGUAAACCUGGACGUGUAACUAUGGUCUGUGUCAGAAUAAUCCGAACCCCAAUAGUCUUCGAGCAUAGAUUCUUUUUCACUUCCAAAUAGAGCCUUAAGAGAUUCAACAAUCUAUCCUACUUCUAUUGAUGAGCACGAGUCUUGAUGAGAGCUUUGACAUGAUUUUGAUCGUGUCACUACUAAUGACAUGCAAUCAGUUCUUUCCUGCGCAAAGAAAAACAAUAAACACAUUAAAAAGUAACUAUGAAAGAAAAAAAUUUAAGUGGAAAUGAAGAUUAAUACUAAUCGAACUACUUUCAGAUACUAGAAAGAAGUCCCCCGGCAACGGCGCCAAUUUGAUUAACGGUUUUGAAGUCAAUAUUCGAAAAAUUCAAAGCCAUGUCCGAGAAUCAAAGCCGGGAGAAGAUCAAGUUUUAUACUCUUAUAGAGGAACAUAAUAUACUUAAUGAUAAACCUAGUUAAUAAAUUAACUAGAGACGAAUCUCCCUAGGGUCUCUUUUAGUAUCUUACUCAAAGUUAUAAAAAGUAUCAAUCGAAGUAUCAAUGAAUGUGGUUUAGGUGCUAUGAGGAUCAAUCAAGUAAUCAAAGUGAAAAUGACAAUUUUCUUUAAGGUACAUGGCUGCAAGACUGCACGAUUAUAGGUUUAGGCUUGAAAUCCCCCUAGUGAUGUGAUGUAUUUUCGACACACCUUUUCUCGUUAUAAACUAUAUUUUUGUGUGUCGAAAUGUAUUCAAAUUCGGGUUUUGAGUACAUGUUUGGUUCUCUUGCCCCUCGGGGCCAUAUUAUGGUGUUUGGUAUGUUUUUGGUACAUUUCAUAUGUCAUAUGACGUUUAGAGAUAAAUCAAGACAUGACGGGGAGGCCGGAACAACUCAAAGCGUUCGACUUGGGAAGAAAGCGUCACUAUUUAGUAUUUUGAGCAUAACUCAUCGCUCCAAAGUCCAAUUGAUGCAAGGUCAGCAGUGUUGGAAAGAUAAUUCGAUUGUCUACAACUUUUCUGUUGACACUAUGGUCAAAUUCCGUAUAAUCAGGGAAAAAAGCGUGUUCGAAAUGGAGCACGGCGUGUUCCAUAUGGAGCACGCCGUAUCCCACCCCCAGACGGGUUUUCAAGUCCUUUUCCUUUUCCAACUUGGUCCAGAAGCCUAUAAAUACCCCUGAGACCCCUGUGGACGAGAUAUACUUCAUUAUACACAUAUUUUUCGAGCUCUUGGAGAGAGCGAGAGUUCCAGAGAGACGAUUGAAGCGAGAGGAUCAACCACGACUGGCGAAGGGCAAAUCAUCAAGUCGAAAAUUGGGAUUUCCAUGAAGAACAUGUCGUCUUCUCUGGUUUUCUUCUCUUCUCUUGUGAUUUAUUUUCCGGAACGUUAGCUCGAGAGAGGAGUGAAUCAUUUAGGCUUUUUGCACGUUUAUCGUUGUGGCAUUAUAACCUGAAUAAUCGAGAUAACUUGUCAGUCAUCCAUGGAUUGCUAGCUUUAGUGGAUUUUAAUCCGAGCAACCUUCAUCUUAUCUUUGAAACUCGAUUCCUUGCAUUUUGAUUUGUUUUAUUUCAGUCAUUAGUUCGUAAUUGGAUAUCGAAACAAUCAAACAAACAAUCAUUACACUGUCACUUGGUCUAGUUAGAAAAUCUACUUGAGUAAUAGAAGAAGAAAGACCCUAGGGAAAUAAAUGAUUCCAUUAGAGCAAUCUAGUGGGUAUUUGAUAGCGGGGUAAAACCCGCUCAUCACCUAGGCAAUUCAAAUUUACAAAUGACAUACAAAUUCCAUGAUUUAAACGAAAGAAGAUAAAUUCAAUUCACCGUUGCAGUUCUUCUCUAAUCAGAUCAUGUCCUUUUGGGUCCGCUAAUCUGCUACUUAUCUACUAUCCCAGUAAGCUCUUUCAAGAUAAAGAUCCUAAAUUCACUAGGCGAAAAAACGAACAAGAACAGCUCAGCCGACAGACUAGUUUAUUCGCUCUUGGAUGAUGGUUAACGCCUAACCUAGUUGGGUUUUAUAAUCUAAGCACGAGAAGUUUAGCUGCUCAUAAUCUCGAGAGACAAAUCAAAAUCAGAAAUGGAAGACAUUGAAUCUAGGUUUACACAAAGAAUUAUGAAAAACCUAACUUCGCUUCCCGAGAGCUUCAUUCACCGUCUUGAUUACUUCGUCGAUUCCGAGGUCCUUGAAGUUUCUUCUAAGUCGCUCUUAAAUCUCUCAAUAAAGCUCUCAAUUUCAUGCAAGGAAGUUUGUCUUCGAAUGAGGGAGAAUUGGGCUUUAAAUAAGAUUUCAUAAAAAUCCUUUUAAUCCGGGAAUGUCAACAUUGGCGCUAUAGUGCAAUGUUUAAGUUGGCGCUAAGGGUAUAGUGCCAAAUUAAACAUUUCACAGCGCCAAAAUUGACAUGAGUUUCCAGAGAGGAUGGUGAGAAUUGGUGCUAUAUAAAUGUUUAAUUUGGCGUUAUGUCAUAGCGUCACUAUUGACCAUGCAUAGCGCCAAUAUUGACAACGUGCAGCCCCUUAGAGAUUUCUUCCCGAUUCAAUCAUCCUAGCUCGUUCAUGCAUGCUUGUAUUGCACUGAUUAGUGCCUCGACAUUGUCAUGUACCUGAAAUCAUACAAAAACACUCCAAAGUGACAUUGAAGGGAUCCCGAACGGGUCCGAGACACUAAAUCGAGAUAGAUGUUAGAAAUGCCUGAACCAUCCUAAACUUCUACCUAAAACUAUACAAAUAUGUUGGAGAUUUCACUCAACAAUGGGUAUCAGAAAGGUGGUUGCUUUCUUAGAAACAAAACCUUGUUGACAAAACACAAAAUCGUUUGUGUUCCCAGGAAGUGGGGGAGUCACAAGUACUACUUAAAUCCCUACAACCUUAGGAAUCAUUUCUUUAGAAUACCCAAGUUGAGAACUUCAUGCAUAACAAUAUUCCAGAAAACUUAGGGGGCUCUUGGAUCGUGACGAAAUCAUGGAUAGCACUUUCCGAAAAGAGUAGUUCGACCCUUAUAAGCUCGUUUACACGAAAUCUCUCCCGAGGAUAAGACCAUCAGCACUCUUAUUCUUAGGCUCAAGAGAUAAGAAUAAAACCUUGAGAACCUUUGGAGAAAGAUUACUCCAACACUUUUAUGACCAAAGUGCCUUCAUGUGGUGUAUGGAGAAUGCAUAUAGCAUUGGUGUCCUCUUUCUCAAAGCCACUCCACCCUUGUUUAUACUAGGGUGGUCGUCCAUAUUGAUCCCUUCAUGAAAUAUAUGAUUGUGGUAGAGCGGUCAUUGAACAUUACUACCCCAAACAACACAAUGCUACAAUAGAAGAGGGGCUAAAGAAGAAACCAGUCAACGAACUCAAAAGAAAUAGGUCAUCAAUAUCAAGAAGAUUUACAAAACAAAGAUGAGCACCAACAACAGAACAAACCAACAGAAAGCCUCUUCCAAGAAACAAGUUUCAACACUUCCAAACUAUACUCGAAAUAUCGAGACAAAGCUUUAACAAGGAGUGUUAAAAAAUGAAGCUACAUCUCUCUAUUUUGAGAGAUAAGAAGCCACUAAUGAAGUCAGAUAAUGCAUCCAACAAGCAACCAACAAAUAAUAUCCAAGCGAACAAUAGUAAUUACCAUUAGCCUCCAAAGUCAGUUAUGACAAGAUAACUAAAUAAAUAUAUAUUGUUUACUUAAGUAUGUGUAGAGGCUAUAUAAAAACUUACCUUCAUAUGUAUCAUCAAGAAAGAAAAAACAAGAUCAAAACAAAAAAAGGAAUACAAAGCUUCGGCUAAGAAACAGAAUUAGAGAAGUUAAAUUUCUUUCUCUACAACUUCUUUGCCCAACUUACAUUCCAGCCCAAAACUUUCUACUUCCUACAAAUUAAUCGCUGAAACAUUUUAUUCUUACAAAUUAAUCACCAUAUUAUUUUAACAAUCAUAUAUUAUAUCAAACGAAAUACUAUCUGCAAAGCAAUCUAAAGACCAACUCCUCCCAACAUACAAUAUCCUUUUAAGCUUAAAGACAUAGACUAACAUAAUCUUCAGUGACUUAAAGAAACCUACCAAAACUAUUAAAUCUCAUCAACAUCACACCAAAAUACUCCUACCAAAGCCCUGCCUGUUGGUCAAACUGCCCGCCUCCUCCAAACUCAACCGAAUACUAAUUCCUCAAGAAUUCCUCAAGAAUGAGUGAGGUCAUAUCUAUUUUGAGGCACAAACAUAGCAGACUUGGGGAAGUAAGAAAAGACACAUAGAUUUGGCCCAAUCUGGAGUUUUGGAUCUCUCUUGUUGUGCAAGAAUCGAUGAUGAGAGAGUCAAAGUCCUUUGGAUUAACCAAAAACAUUUGGAAAUCCAUGAGAUCAUUACAGGUAAUGGCUUGCAUGACGAUUGUGAGUUCAAAUCUAUCCAUUAGUCGAACCAUGAUGAUAAAUUAAUGACAAUGAUAAUGGCAUGGCACCAACACUUUCCUACCCUGGAUUAAAUUUGGAUACAUUAGUAUAGCUUGUUGCCCUUUCCAAUGAUGGCUUUGGUCUCAUAAUGGCAUCCGAAAUGGAUUGCCUAUCAGUUGUGAUUAUAUGGUUGUCUGGGACUGUAAAGUAAACCCAAAAAUAAUAGAUAAGGUUAGUGUUCUCUGAAUCCUUAACCUAGAGUUCUAGUUUAAGGUCGGCUCAAACUCAACUCAUAUUUCACCAAACUAUUUUAUAUUGUAGAUAUCACAUUUGCAGAAUUUGGUACUAAGAGAACCCAUUCUAAACUUUUUCAAUUUUGGUCGAGUUCGAAGAUCAUUAGUGCAAUGGCUUAACAAUUGUCAGUUCCAAUUUAUCGGGUAAUAAAUGAAUAUAAGCAUGAUGAUCAAUGGUACCAAGACCCAAUCUUGGAUUAAAAUUCAUUCCUAUAAAAAAGUGUUAUUGUUUCAUAUUUUCCAAUUCUGCAUCUGCAUAUGAAAAGGAACAUCGAGGCAAAAAUUCAGUACAUCAUUGAGAAUGCGGAAAUGGCUGAGGCUUUUAUCCACGGGAUGUGGGAUAAAGUGUUGUAUGCAUAUUUGAAUGCAGAGUUCUAUGCAGAGUGGGAGCAUAUGAACAACAGUGAUUGAGCUAAAAUCAAGGUUUGAUGGAGUACUUGACAAGUGAGUGGGUACCACAUAAUACUCAGUGGGCCUAAAACAACAAGGUUUUCCAUAUUGGGUGUAGAAGUACCAAUAGGAUGGAGUCCCAACACUUGUUGCUGAAAUUAUGACACACUAUUUAAGGCAUACCAUUCUUCCAUCGAGGGCCAAGUCACAUAGGUGCAAAGGGCUCUAGAGGAAUCACGUUCUAAGGUAUUUUGUUUGUUUGAAUAACGUGUUAUGUGUCACUAUUAUAACUUGUUAUUUAAUCAUGUUUUCAUAACUAGUUAUCUGUUCAUGUGUAAGUAACUAAUUAUGUUGUGAUUGUUUUGGUACCGAGGUUCAUCGUUUUACUCACAUACAACCAUUUACGUAUAUGAAAAAUCAAGUUAACCUAUGGGGGAUUAAGUUGGUGAAUGAGGAGCUAUCCAUGACGGACCGUUACACUGGGUGAUUGAAGAUAUACAUGAAAUCCCGUGUACAUGUAGGCUUGAAUAUAUGGAAGAAUGCGAGGAUGAGUUGAAACCAUACCACCUCCAUCACUUUUGGCAAUCAUUGGAGUAUACGAACCCUGAGCGGGAUAGUACAAACAAUUUCUGAUUGGGGGGCCUUACGUACGGGCAUUGAUUAAAUUGGUGCAGUCACAGUUUCAACCUGAAUCGGAGGGUGUGAAAGAGCCUAAGGCUUAUGCGGCUCCAAAGGGCAGGCCGCAUGCAAGAAAGACAGAAUGGCGAAACCCUUCUUCGCAUGAGCACACGAGUGCUCAUUGUACCCCGACCAAGGGUAAACCCAAGUCAGGUUCGCACUAUUUUACAAUGCAUCACUAUCUUCAUGUGAUCGGUUAUGGACACACUUUAUCACUUAACAGGUGGUUCAACUCCUGCGCAGAGUACACCCACACCAAGCAUGUCGAGAUCAAGUCGAGCAAGGCCAUUUUUGCGUAGAGGUGUGUAUUGCAAUCAAAUCACUAUCUGACGAGUGGAUUUUACCCCGCCCUUCCAAAAUCCACUAGAUUGCUCUAAUGGAAUCGUAUUUUCCCUAGGGUCUUUCUAACGCUAUUACUCAAUUCAAAUAAGCUAACUAGACCAAGUAAGAGAGAAUGUUUGUUUGUUUUAGAGAUUGUGUAGCCAAUUAUCAACUAAAAGGAACUAAAUACGCACCUAACGCAAUGUAUUCAAACAUGUUAACGCAUCAAACAUCCAAAACUGUCAAUUAAAAAGGGAACAAAUGUGCUAAUAAUCAAGCACAUCAAAUCCUCUCACACUUAAAUGUUUGCUUUUCCUCAAGCAAAUUUACUAAUCACACUCUAUAAAGAACUCAAAAUGUGGUAAUAGGAAAAACAUAGCUUAGGGUCUCAAGUCUAUCAUGGUGUCAAUGAAUGCAAGUCAAUCAACAAACGACAUAAUUAGGCAUAUAAUACCAAAUCCCUUAGACUAGUAUAAGGUAGACUCAUGCAUAUAACACCAAAUACCUUAGACUAGUAUAAGAUAGACUCAUGCAUAUGAUACAAAUGACUCAACACCUAACCCCCAGAGUGUAUCCAUAUCCUCCCAAAUAUUUAUACCCUCAAAUUGUCAGCGGAAAUAACAGACCGACGACUCAUCCUGACCGAGAUUUCUCUUUUGUCCUCAGAGAUAAGGUGCUUCAAUUUCUUUCUAGGAUCAUAGCACUCAAGUAAUGCUAGCACAUUCCUCUUAUUUUGAGUUGCUUACUUGACUAUCUAGCACUAUAUACUACUAAUUACAAAGCUUACUUGCUGAAAUGUUGUUUCUUUUCUUUUCUUUCUUUAUGGCUUUUUAGAUAACACCUGUUUUCAAAUGAGAGAAAUAAUCACAAGCUUAAUCAGACUCGGAAAUGACCAGUCUUCGGCCACGCUACAAGCCUCAGAAAGGGUGGGGUGAUGGCGGACCUCUAGGGUCGCCCUACGUGUUUCAGUUGUAAUAAAAUCCCCACGCCAUUUUUUAAUUUUAGCAACCUCAUUCAGACUCCUUCCUGUCUGUUUUAUCAUCAUAAUGAUAGUAGUAAUAUUUAUAUAUAUUUUAUUGUAUGUUUUUAUAGUAAGAUUAGGCAUUUUCAAUUCGUAUUGUUUAUAUCUAAGGAAUAUCUGUGAAGAAUUAGAAAUAUGUAAUUUACGACAGCAACUUUUUGGGUAUUUUGGACGAAAAUAAUGAAAUUUACAUACCGAUGAAGAGUUGCGUCGAACGAUGCUAUGAUUCCAAAUAUACCUACUUUACAAUUAUUAAAAUAUAAUAAAAACAAGAAGCAAAAUUAUCACAUGCAUGCAUUGAUGCACGUUGAAGAAGGAAAUGAAAAAAUGGGUUCUGUAAAGGAUGGUUAGAAAUUGUACUUGGCUAUGAUGUAGCCACGGUACUCCUUCUGAUUGAUUAUUAGUUUCUUCUCUUUCUGAAUAUAAUUGCUUAGUGGGAGAAGGAAGAUGACAUCAAAGACAAAGAGACAAGUGUUGAUCUGUGAGGAGUAAAUGGGAUUUGAAGAACUUGUUGAGGACAGUUGAGAGAAUGGAAAUCCGGCUAUGAAAGGACUCGGUACAUUACAUACAGAAGGAAAACAACACAGAGCUGCGAAGGCAGCAGAACAUCAGCACCACCAAACAUAAUGUGUUAGUUUGUAGUUAGAUUUGUUUGUAUUUUUGUUGUACGGUUAAAGUAACGGUGUGACGAGAAGCGAAUCAGUAUUCAAUUCAUACACCAAUAUUUACGAUACAUAUUUGUAGGUUUUUGUUCGUAAUGUUUACUUUAAUUUUGUGUAUUAUUAUUAUUAUGUUCAUUAUGAACUAAUUCUAUUCUGGGGAAUUUGAUGGAUUAAGUUAAAUUAUUAUGUGUUAAAUAUUUUCGAUUUACUUUUCGUCUCCGAUUAUAUGUGUAUUGUUAUUUGUAAUGUUAUAAAUUGUUUGAUCACCAAUUUGUUGAAUCGUUGUCUUUAGUGAGUACUCAAAAGGGAAACCCUGAAAAUAGAACACUAGCACAUACUUAUAGUAGUCUAUUUGAAGCAGAAGUGAAUAUAGAAUAUUAUGCGAUCGUUAAAUGGAUAAUCAGAGUUAAGGCUAUUUAAUUAUUUAUUUUUGCUACGAAAGUAGGGAUAUAAAUUAUUAAGUAGUAUGUGGCUGCCCUUUGAACGGGUAGUCAUCCCAAUAGAGGUUAUUCAGUCAUAAAAUUAAGAGAUUAAAAAUAAUUAAUAAACAAAAUUUGGAGAUGCGACAACAAGUUAUUGAUCACGUUAUAGUCAACUGGCCCACCUGGUAUGAACACGUGCAUGACGGACCACUAAAAACCGUUCUAGCAAGGUUACGUUGGAUGAGCACAAACCCGUGUGAUCGUCCGUAGUGGUUAUGGAAUUUGGAACUUUCCGGAUUUGCCACUAAACACAAUUGGAAUUAUGUUGUUAUCGAUAACGGGGGAGGGUGGUCUCCUGUAUGGGGAGACAUUUAAUCCAUUCACAAUCCAAUGUGGGACACAUUCAUUGGGAGGUGUUACUUACCUAGUGUGUACUAGUAAUCAUUGGUUGUAGUUAUAUUGGCUACUGACGAUGGGGUGUUACCAAUUCGGUGGACUAAUUUGAUGUGGCAUUAUUAGGCCGAUGAGAAUGAAAAAGAAGCAUGGGAAAGCCCUCUGUACUGAUGACACUCGACUUUUUGGUUCAUCGUCCUCUUUUAGGCGACAUUUCAUGCAUAUUUGUAUAGUUUUGGGUAAAAGUUUAGUGCAUUUCUAACUUGUCUCUCGAGUUAGUGUCUCAGACCCGUUCAUGGUCUAUUUUACAUUGUUUCGUAGUGUUUUCAUCGAUUUCAGGCACACAGCCACAACGGGGCAUUUUUUGGAACUAUAUUAUGUGCAAGGAGGAGCUAAAUGCAUCAAAGAAUGGAAAAAUAAAAAUGUUCAGGCGUCAUACCAAAAGUUUCCCUAAGCCAUACCAAAACUGCGCGGCGCGCAUUUUGUUGAUUAUAGCGCACUUUUGGUCAUUUUUCGUCUUUCAGGCCUCUGACAUUUAGACUGAAAGUGCGCCUAAGAAAUACCAAAGGUGCGUGGCGCACUUUAGGUAUAUCUAUGGCGCACUUUUCGUAUCCGUCGAACGUAAGGAAGCGCCUCUAUAAAAGCACAAUUGGAUCCCAUUCUCAUACAGACUUUUUCGGACGAAAUCAAGAGCAUUAGUGAGAGAUUUCAGAGCGAUGAGAAGGCAACUUCACGGACUUUGGAAUCGGCAAAAGGAUUAAGACAGCGAAUCAAGUUCUUGGGAAGAUUGGCGAAAUUAGGUUCUUCAUAGUUUCUUGUGUAAACCUAGAUUCAAUGUUCUCUUCUUCUGAUUUUGAUUUUUCUUCUGAAAUCAUGAGCAGCUAAACUUAUCUUGCUUACAUUAUAUGAACCCUAGGUUAAUUCCUAUGAACAAAUGAUUUGAUAUGUUUGACGAUCUAUGUGAGUUGGAUGGAUUUCAUUGCAGAUUUAAUUUUGUUUUCGAUUUGUUUUUGCAUGAUCAACUUGAAUAAAUCUCUGUUAGAUUUGUCUUAUACUCGUGAGAGCUUGCAUUUCUAGAACGCCGAAAUCAAAUAAUUAGGUCAGACGUCAACCCUCAUCCUGAAGUGAAUGAACUAGUUUGUCGUGUGAGAAAUUCUAAAUCGGUAAAUCGCCUAGCGGGGUUUAGAUCUUGUGUCGAAAGAGCGAACUAGAAUACUAGAUAGGUAGCAAAUUAACGGUCCCGAAAGGGCAUGAUUUGAUUAGAGAAGAAUUGCGCCAGUGUAUUGCAUCUUUCUUAUUUCGUGUAAAUUGUGGAAUGUUUCUGUCAUUUGUGAAUUAGAAUUGCCAAGGGGCUUCGACGACUAAGCUGUUUCACCUUUUAUUGUCUAAACUGUUAUCGUGCAGUCUUGAAAACCAUUUACUUUUAAGCAUAUUUCAUUUCACUUUGGUUGAUUGAUUGAUCCUCCUAAACACAUUCAUUGAUACUUUGAUUGAUAUUAAUUACAACUUUGAGUAAGAUACUAAUAGAGACCCUAGGGAGAUUCGACUCCAGUUAAUUUUUUAGCCGGAUUAUUUUGAAAAUGCCUAAAAACGUUCUUCAAAUUGGCGUCAUUGCCGGGGGACUUCUUUCUAGUAUCAGAAAGUAGUUCGAUUAGUAUUAAUUUUCAUUCCCGCUUAAAAUUUUUUCUUUCACAGUUAUUGCUUAUGGUGUUUAUUGGUUUGCUUUGUGCAUGAGAGAAUUCAUUGCAUGUGACAAGUAGUGACACGAUCAAAAUCAGGUCAAAGUUCUCAUCAGACUCACACACAUCAAUAGAAGAAGGAGAGAUUUCUGAAUCUCUCAAGGCUCUGUUUGGAAGUGACGAAGAAUCUAGGCUCGAAGACUCUUGGGAUUCUUCUGACACAUAACACAUUUACACAUCCAGAUUUAUAGAACCAAUGGCAGCUGCAACAAUCGUUGCCGAUUACACCAAGCCUUGUGCUAUAAACUCCACAUUGAGUGUGGUUCCUCCUAAGAAAGAUGAUGCCAACUAUGAGAUCAAGGGGAAUCUCAUCUCCUUAAUUCAACAGAACUUGAAGUUUGAAGGAAGGACCGAUGAAAAUCUAUGUGAUCAGCUAGUGGAUUUUUGUGCUUAUUGUGAGACUGUCAGACAUCAAGGUUUGUUCGAAGAAGCAUUAAAGCUCAAGUUGUUCAACUGGUCUCUUCGACGAGCAGCAAGAAGGUGAUUGACUAGUCAACCCGAAGGCACAUUCAGAGAUUGAUACACUCUAACUCAAGCUUUUUAGAAGAGUACUAUCCACUAGCAAAGACUGCAGCUACUCGAGAGUCAAUCUCUCGAUUUCAUCAGAGAGAAGGAGAAAGCUUAUAUGCCUUGUGGAACAUAUUUCAAGAGCUAUUAUCUCAUUGUCCUCACCAUGGUUACACAUACAGUCAGGUGGCAGAUAUAUUCAACAGAUCCUUAGACCGAGCGACCUCAAUGUUAGUACACCAACUAGCAAAUGGAGAUAUAAUUGCUCUAACUCUCGAAGUUGCUUUGCAACAUUUUGCUUCAUGUGCUAUCAAGUCUAGAAAUUGGUAAAUAAAUACAAUUCAACCAGUACAUGUAGUAGCUUCUGAUAAUUCAGGUAAUAUUUCCUGGAGAGCUCAGGUUAAGGCUUUAGAAAAGAGGAUGGAUAAUUUGAAGGUUGAUAACCCCCCCUUCGACAUAUGUCUACACCUAUGCUUGGUGUGGUAUUUGUGAUAGCUAGGUUGAAUGUGAUAACUUCUACACCAACAAACCAAUGACCGUGGAAGAAGUAGAUUUUGUGCGAGAGGGUUAUCCUUUCAGCCAGCAAGGAUAUCAAGACUUUAGAGCAAAGAAUGUCGGAGGCUGACAACUCCAACAUGCAUAUCCUCGCUUUGAUUUCUACAAGCCUAGAGUAGAGGACUGGAAUGCAAGCACUCCUCAAGGAAAUUCAAGCAACCAAGGACCGCCAGGAUUUCCAGACAAGCCACCUCAACAUCCAAAACAAAAUUCGGCCACCACUAGAGGAUUUAAAGAUGACAUUAUCCAGAUGAUGAAGAUCAUGCAGGCGCAGUUGGAAAAUCAAAACAUUAUUUUGAAAGGUCAACAAGCAAUGAUUCAAAGGAUGAAAGGCAUCCUACCCAUCUUUAGGAGAGAAGGUCGAUCAGAAACCUUCUGGACAGCUCCCCUCAAACACUGAACAAAACCCCAACAACAAACAAAAAGGAAAAAACCCCAACAACAGACGAACCCAAUUUUCGUUCCGCCGACCGAAGGAUCUGCCUUCUGUCUAGCCGCAAUUUUCGCCAAUUUUGGAAUGUGUCUUACCUGAUCGGUCACUCUCCGGAUCAUUGUUUUCGUAUUCGGAUCUUCGCUUUCCCAUUGGAGUUUUGAAGUUCCAGUUUGACAGUGUUUGAGUUCGUUGAAGAUUGUUUGCGUUCGUUGAAGAUUGUUUGAGUUCGUCGAAGAUUGAACUUCCGUUCGUUGAAGAUUGUUGUGUUUGAGUUCGUUGAAGAUUGUUUGCGUUCGUUGAAGAUUGUUUGAGUUCGUCGAAGAUUGAACUUCUUAUAUACGGGUAUUGAUUUUACGGAAGGGAAAUUUCGUAAUUUACCAUAUCUAGGGGGUUAUCUAAUUUAAAUUUAGGGGGUCGUUUAGAGAUUGAUAAAAAAAACUUGUUAGUAAGAACAAGUCCUUAAACUUGAUUAAGUGUGAAGGAAAUAGGAUGAUUAGAUUGGUUCAGAUGGGAGUGCCGACAUUAUGCUUACUCUCGAGCUUUUAUUCAAUGCAGCUCUUGCGCGCUAUGUGAACCAACCUGGAAGCCUAACUCAUUAUCGAACUGAAUCCACCCUGGCUCAAAAUCGAUUCAUUUAGCUUUCAAGUUAGCUUGUUAAAGAUCAAGCAUAAUCUCCAACUAUUAUUUUUUGAGGUGAAUGUAGAGCUCCUCACAAGCUGUUCAAAUUUGCACACCACCGUUAAUGUCUCUCUCUUGUUUCCCUCCUACACCAAAUUCAGCGGGCCGAAGUUCUUAGCAGAUCCAAGCAACACAUGAGGUAAAUGAACUACUACGUUUAUGUUCCAAUCAAUCUGAUCCCAACCAGCAACUGGGCAAAUGAUAAAUAAACUCUUAGAUGGCAGUCUUCUAGAUUAUAAAACAUUUCAAAAUGAAUUCCUACAAAUACAGAUACAUAGAAUUGCCAAAAAUUAAUAAACGGUGAUACUAAGCAUGAUUCAGACGCUAACUGGUAUUAUUAACCUACUGGUUUGUAUGGCCGAGCGAUAUCACGCGACGUAAAAUUGAUGAUUGAUUAAACUGUGCACACCUGUAUUUGAGUAACUUCAUUAUAAUUUUUCUAUAAAAAUAAUAACUGUAUUAUAAUUAUGGAACAUAUAUAAAAAAAUAUAGGCACAUAUAGCUUCAUUGGAACUAUUGGCACAAAGUCUCCGCGUAGUUUAAGGGGCCAAAAUUGAAAAAUAUUAGAAAAGGGACUAAUUAAACUCCAGUUCGCAUGGACUGACAUUUGCAACACACUUCGAUUGAUGCAUUGCUUUGGAGAUGGCUUCCUUCCUUCUCUAAUAUAUAGGAGCCUACUUCUGUAUUGGCAUUAGUAUCAGUAGACUGUGGAUGGAGAAGCUGUCAAAUGUUAAGUAGUAAAAUGGAGCAUGAACAUGUUCAACAUAAAUAUGAUUAUACUGUGGAGAUAGAUGAGUCUUCAUAUUAAUAUAAAUUGCAAUUUGAAGAAGUUGAGUUAAUAAUGAGGAAGAUCAGUAAGUGAUAAAAUUAUUUAGUGAAACUGAUGUUUAAAGAGAGAGCUAGCUCCUCGACAUUCUUUGAUAACUAUAAAUACAUUGCUAACUAUAACUAUAAGCACAUUGUUUGUAUCUAACCUAGCAUAUAAAUUGGUUUGGAUAUAAGCUAAUUUUUAUCCAAGUUGAUUAACAACCAAAACAACAGUGGGAGUUUUGCAUUCAUUCUCCAUAUACAUGAUCCCUGGAAAAGCACUCAGAUAACGAUACUAUAUGGCACUAUGCAUCUAAUCAAUAAAAUGAACUGCGAAUUUGUGAGUGUGAUUUCGUCGAAAUCCAAUGUAAAGGUGAGCAAUUUCUAUUAGUAUAACUGAGGCUAUAUAGUAUCGUUCUCUGAGGCUAGAGGUUUAUCAUCUCUACAACUAUAUAUGCAAAUAUUUCAAAAUUAAAUUGCCAUGUAAGCCUUUUCUUCACUCUCAGUCACUCUUUAGGAGUCUGUCCUUUAAAAAAACCCUAAUUAAUGAUUCUCUUUCUGACGGUUUAACUCAUUUCCCUUUCCNNNNNNNNNNNNNNNNNNNNNNNNNNNNNNNNNNNNNNNNNNNNNNNNNNNNNNNNNNNNNNNNNNNNNNNNNNNNNNNNNNNNNNNNNNNNNNNNNNNNNNNNNNNNNNNNNNNNNNNNNNNNNNNNNNNNNNNNNNNNNNNNNNNNNNNNNNNNNNNGGUUACGAGUCAUUAUCUAUGUACCUAUUGAGAACCAUAAUCAGGUUGAAUUAGACAUAUUUAUCAAACCUAUGUACAUACCAUAAACAUGUUUCUGCUUUCAAUAUUCUUUUAACGGACCAAUUAGUCAUUAAAUUUUGCGUAAUUCGGAAUGCUAAUAGGGUUGAGUUGGUUUGAAUUUUGCAUAUCAAUGGAACCUAAGCAUAACUCAUAACAAGACCAUUCUUUAAUAAUCUUUUAUGGCUCAAUUGAGGUUAAAUUUUUGUAAGUUAAUCGAGUUAGAGUCAUUAUCUGAUGACUAAUUUAGAACACUACUCAAGUUGAGUUGGUCUAAAUUAGACAUAUCCAUCAAACAUAACCUUGUAUAAUUACAUGAUCCUUCAUUCAAGAUUCUUUUAGUAGAGUCAAUUGAAGUUACAUUUUAUAAGUUAAUAAUGUUAUGAUUCAUUAUCUCUAGCCCAGCUGCAAAUCAUAACACUGGUACAGUAGAUCGCACACUAUGAUACAGUCCUAAAAACCCGUUCAAAGAUUCUUGUCAAUCGAAUUACAAUUCUACGCAAAAAGCAGAAAGGUAAUCCUAGAUGAGUCUGGUCCGACGCAGUCUCCCCAGAGCUCAAUCGCCUGAUCUGAUGACAUGUAGAGAUCAAUCAUAGGAUUGAAAUUCCCAAACCCCAAAUCCUAACCUAUCAGGACUUUUCAACGUAGGAUUCAAAACAAGUACUUGAGAAGGGAGGAAGAAGAUGGAUUACAUUCAAAACCUUCCUCUACAAUCUCUAAGCUUCUCGAACUGAUAUGAGAUCGAUCGACUUGGUCUUCCCAUCUUCCUGAAAUUGACCGAUGUGAUCCCUUGCGGUCAUGAUUGUGACGGAUGCUGACCACGACUAUAAUCUAUUUGAUGACCACGCCCAUGAAAAACUUGCAGUCACACCCGUGACAAUGUGUCCUACAACCGAUUCUCAUAAUUUAUAGAACUCGAACUAAAUCCAGAAUCAACCAUUAGCCCAAAAUCCAGGUGUCACAACUCUCGCCUCCUACAAAAGGUUUCGUCUCUAAACCUGAAUGUGAAAAUUAACACGAGAAAAGAAAUUCCCUACUAGGUAAUCCUCCAUGAGCUCCAGGAAGCGUUCCUGCAUGCUAGCCUUGAUCUCCGAUGUCGCAGCCUCGACAACCUGAUUUUGGCAAAUCACCUUUAGCAUAGGUGUUUCGUUGCUCCUCGGUUUGACGAAUUUUCUGUCUACAAUCCGAGCUGGUUGCUCCACAAAGGUCAGGUCCUUCUUGAAUUGAAUCUCAUCUGGCUAGAUCACUUGAUUCGGCUUGCCAAUGUAAGCCUCAAGCACACUCACAUGGAACACAUUAUGUAUCUUGUCCAACACAGCACAUAAGGCCAGCUCAUAAGCCAUGGGUCCUAUCUUUCGAAUGAUAUCAUAAGGGCCAAUUAACCGAGGAGAAAACUUCCCCUUCUUGCCAAACCGCAUCACUCCCUUCGAAGGACAUACUUGAUGGAGACUUUAUCCCCUUCCUUGAAGCUAAUCUCUCUAGCCUUCCUAUAUGCAUACUACUUUUUCCAAUUCUGAGCCACACCCAGCUCCUCGAGAGGCCGUCUCCUGAACCAUCUAAGGUCUAGUUAAUAACUUCUCUCACUUCCUAUCCAAGAACGGAGGGGUCCUACACUUCCUGCCAUAUAGAGCCUCGAAUGCAGCUACCCUGAUACUAUGGUGAAAGAAAUUAUUAUAAGCAAACUCCACCAUCGACAAAACCUUUAACAAAGGUUCAUCAAACUCCAUUACACACGAGCAAAGUAGCUCCUCCAUUAUCAGAAUGGUCCGCACGACACUUGAUUUGUCAAGUAGUGCAUUUCUAACUUCUAUCUCGAUUUAGUAUCUCGUACCCGCUCGGGGUCCAUUUGAUGUUGUUUCGUAGUGUUUUUUUUAUCAAUUUCAGGCACACAAUGACGUCAGGGCACUAUUCGGAACUAUAUGGCGUGCAAAUAGGAGCUGAAUACAUUAAAGAAUGAAUAAAUCACAAAGUUCAUGCGAUAUACUGUGUUUGGGGACACGCGGAUGGAUGAUUUAAGUAGCUUGGAGCGGAUGGUUGCUGAAAUUUAAGGGGAACACGACGUGUCCAUUGGGACACAACGUGUUCGGAAAUUAACCAACUAGGUUGGGCGUUAACCCUCAUCCAGAAGCAAAUAAAAAAGUCCGUCGUGUGAGCAAUUCUCGUUUGUUUUGUCGCCUAGUAGAUAUCAAAUCUUUGUCUCAAAAGAGCAGAUUGGGAUAGUAGAUAGGUAGCAUAUUAGCAUACCCAAAAGGGUGUGAUUUGAUCAGAGAAGAACUGCAACGGUGAAUUGAAGUUAUCUUGUUUCAUGUAAAUCAUUGAAUUUUUUGUCAUUUAUGAGUUUGAGUUACCUAGGGGGAUUCGAGGUCUAAGCAGUUUCAUCCUUGAUUGUCUACAACCUUAUAUCGUGCAGUCUUGCAACCAUUUACUUUAACAAUUUUUUUUUCUUUUGAUUGUUUGAUGGAUUCUCAUGGCACCUACACCACCAAACAUGCUUAAUACAUUAACACUUUUCAUAACUUUGAGUAGUCACGACAAAGAGACCCUAGGGAGAUUCGACUCGGUUAAUUCAUUAGCCGGUUUAUUUUGAUAAUGCAUAAAAUCGUUCAUCAUCCGCUCCAACUGACCAUUUGACUGUGGGUGAUAAGUUGUACAGAAAUCCAGCUUCGCCCCGAAGGCUGCAUGUCACCCCUUCCAAAAAUGGAAAGUGAAAACGGGGUCCCAAUCUGUUACAAUCGACUUGGGCACUCCUUGCAAUCUCACAAUGUGCUCCACAUACAAACCUUCCAACUCCACAUUCGGCUUAAACCGAAUGGGUAUGAAAUGUACCACAUUGGUCAACUGGUCUUUAUAACCCAAACUGCAUCUUUCUCAUUGACCAAGGGAAAACCACUGACGAAGUCCACCGUAAUAAAUCGAACAUCCACACCAGUAAAGGUAGCGAUGAAGCAACCAUCCUGUUGCCCGAUGGUCAAACUUAGCCUUUUGGCACACCAGGCAACUAGCCACAUGUUGAAUCACUGGUUCUUCAUGCUAGGCUACCAGUAGUGAGGAAAAAGUGUUCUGUAUAUCUUCAUCUCACCUAGGUGCAUGACAUAAGUGAACGAAUGCACCUCGUCCAAAAGGUCCUCCCUUAGCUUGGACCUAGGAGGUACAUACACCCUUUCUUGGAAGAGCAUCAUGCCAUCCUUCCAUGUGUAGGGUGUUGCCUUACCAGCUGACACCAGCUACUGAGCCUCCAAAAUUAACUUGUCUGAUGUGAGCCUCGGUAAUGUGAUCUAGCAGGAAGGGCCAUACUACCAAUCUCGCCAAUGACCCCCUGAUUGAGUCGACUUCCAACUCAGCAUCCAUUCUCCUCAUCUCGACCAAUUCGGUCAACCUCUCCUUCCUUCUUAAGGCAUAAGCCACUACAUUGACCUUCCUGGGUGAUACUCUAUCACAUAGUCAUAGUUCUUGAGCAACUCCACCCAACGUCUCUGCAUACAGUUCAACUCCUUUUGCUCCAUCAAGUACUUGAGACUCUUGUGAUCAGUCUUGAUCCUCAAAGUCUCACCAUACAAGUAGUGCCUCCACAGCUUUAGUGCAAAAACCAUUGCCGCUAGCUCCAAGUCAUGAACUGGAUCGUUUAACUCAUGCACCAUCAACUAGUGAGAUGCAAAACCCACCAAUCUGCCAUCCUGCAUCAAAACACAACCUAACCUCAAGUAUGAAGCAUCACUAUAUAUAACAUACUCCCCCCCCCCCCCCCCCCCAACAACUCGUACCAUGAGUUUUGGUGUUGUGGUGAGCCUCCUCUUCAGUUCCUUGAAGCUUUCACGACAGACCUUACUCGGAACAAAAUGUGUGUCCUUCCUGGCCAGCUUGUGGAGUUGUCCUGCUAUUUUAAACAAACCUUUCUACAAACUUCCUGUAGUACCCAUUCAUGCCUAAGAAACUCCUCACUUUAGUCACACUUCUAGGUGGUGACCAAUCCACUAUCACCUCUACCUUCAUUGUUUGUCUCUCCUCCUUUGAGGUGUUGGCAUUAGAUGUGUCCCACCUAACACUGCCUUCCUCUUCUUCUCCUCUUGCCAAGCUUGGCAUUCUCCUUUCAUCGCACCCUCAAGGAGUUCUAUCCUCAAGGCUGCUGCCUUGAUAUCUGCCAGGGUCACCAUUACACCAAUCUUAAUCUGAGCCAUCAACCCAUGGUAGAACAUCUACUUCAUGUGCACCAUCGUUUAUUCAGGUGAACCCUUGUACCACCUACUCAGCUUGAUAAAGGCGUUAUGGUAAUCCACCACCUUCAUAUCAUCCUGUCUGAGGUUAAUAAACUCAGCCCUCUUGUUCUUCUGCCACUGCUUUGGUGUAAACUCUUUCUUGAACAGAAUCAGGAACUCCUCCCAAUCUUGAUCCAAGAAGUUAUCCUCAACCUGUAGCUAAUUAUCCAACCACUCCUUCGAUGUACCCCUCAACAGGUAAGCAGCAUACUACACUCUAUUCUCCAGCGUAGGUCUUAGAUACCUAAACACGUUCGUCAGCUCUCGUAGCCAAUCCACUGCUAUCAGCGGAUCUGUGGACACUCCAUGAAAGGUAAUGACACCCAUACGAGUCAGCUCCUUGAAAUCAAAGCUCGGCAUAGGCGGAUCCCUGACCAUGUCGACCUAGGCCUCUUGAUUACUACACACACAAAUGUAAUAUUCAGGCUCCCUUUCAUUUAAGUUUAUCUCUGUUUUUUCUAGUAAACAUGAAAACAGUUUAAAACUCGACCACACACAUGGUGUACAUACCACUACCCCAUGGUGUAUCCUUGGUCACGUCUAUGGUGUAUAUCUUGCUACACCCGUAACUAGCAUCACCACGCAUGUGGUAUACAUGUGACCAUGCCCGUGAUUCUCUGCCCCAUCACGCACGUGACCUGCUAACUAACCAUGCAUGUGGUAAUCAUCAAGCCACGACCAUUACCAACAACUAGCCACGCCCGUGACGUACUUUCCGCCACGCCCGUGGCUCACACCCCAUUUCAAAAUUGCAAACAACAAAUAACUUACAGACUCCUAAACACAGAAGGACAUAUCACCAGGUCAUUAUGUAUUGUGCUCCCAUGAUCACUGAUCGCUUGGAGGUUCAUGACGCCCAUGUACCAGCAAACAUGGUCACGUAGUAGAGAAAAACUAGGCUAUGAUACCCGUUAUGAAACCCAACACUAAACGACCCAGUCGAACCACACGGUUCGACCCAUGCAUUCUUGUAUGUUAAAUUACUUCAUAAAUAACAUCAUAUACAUAAGAUAUAACCGCAUUAAAUGACCUCUCAUAAUAAGUAAAAACCGCGGAAAUGAAACAGAGCAUCUAAGGCUCGAAUCCAAUACUAAACAGGGGAAACCAAUAUCCAGAGGUAAGUUUGUCAAAUCAACUCAAACAUAGAAAAUGUCUGAAAACAUGAAAAUGUCUGAAAACAUGAAAAUGUCUAAAAACGUGAAAACAAUGAAAGGGAUAACCAAGGUCCUCCAAGAUACCUCUCACAGCCACUUGGUUGAGGCGUCGCUACUCUUGCUUCUUUCUUAGGCGGCAUUUUGGCUUGAAGUUCCAUGGUUCAUCAUAUACGUAGAAAAGAGACGGGGUCAGCGAUAAGCACUGAGUGACUAAGCCUGAACGCGAAGAACUGGGCUAGUAUCUAGUAAAGUAACCCUGUGGUCCUAUAGGUAUCAUCCUAACUUCAGCCACCCCUAGAUAUAAGCGGAUAACCUCAUGGUGAAUCAAAGCAAGAAACCAUCCUAAAAAUCCAUGAGAGGAACACUAAAGGUUAACUCAUCACGUCCUGUAUGAACCAUCCUAUAGUAAAUCACACGCUACUAUACAGUCCUUAUAGGAUUCCUGUCAAUCUAAUUUCAAUUCUACGCAUAAAGCAGAAAGGUAAUCUUAACCCCUAUCACUGAAAGCUUUCCCAAAUAAGUAUGGUCUGAAGCACUCUCCCUAGAGCUCAAUCGCCUAAUCUGAAUGACCUAUAGAGAUCAAUUGUAGGAUUGAAAUCCCCAAACCCCAAAUCCUAACUUGUGAGAAUUUUCCUACGUAGGAUUAAAAAAAAAGGAUUUGAGAAGGGAGGAAGCAGAUAGAUUACCUUCAAAACCUUCCUCUGCAGUCUCUAAGCCUCGCAUACUAAUCUAAGAUAGAUUGAUUUAGUCCUCCCCUCUUCCUGAAAUCGAUCACAGUCGUCAAAGAGGUUCUAAUAUUAGGUUUCUGUGAAUUCUGCGUUCUGAAGUUGCAAUUCUGUUUAUAUAAAAAAUCCACCACGCCCGUGGCCCACUUAUGGUCACGAUCUUGAUCCCAUGCUAGUCACGAUUGUGACUGAUGCUGACCACAACCAUUAUCUAUCUAAUGACCACGUCCGUGAUAGACUAGUAGUCACGCUAGUGAUGGUGUGUCCGACAAACAAUUCUCAGAAUUCAGUAAACUCGAACUAAACCCAGAAUCAACCGUUAGCCUAAAAUUGGGGUGCCACAGUUGGGCCCUAGCUUUUUAAGUCUUAAUAUCAUUAUGACUAGUAUUUCACAACACAUUAUAUACACCUUACUUCACGGAAGAGCGAGUUACUGGAUUUCGACAAACUUUUUUCCCAUCUGGGGGAAAAUCGUGAUCUCCAUUACUGAAGCUGGAGACACGGUGUUAUGGAAGGGUAUGUGGAUGCCAAGGUUCUGACACGCUUGCAAUAUGCGUUUAAUAAUAACCUAAUUACCAAAGUAACUAGGGUGGAAUUUCCCUAGGGUUUCAAUGUUGUGUCUACUCGAAGUUUUGAAGAGUGAUAAUAGGUUUAACAAGUAUUGUGGUUUAGGUGCGUACUCGCAGUUCUUCUUGAAUCCCGCCCUUUUGGGUAUGCUAAUCUGCUACUUAUUUACUAUCCGAGACCUCUCUUUCAAGACAAAGAGUAAAAUCUGCUAGGUGAUAAAACAAACAAGAACUGCUCACACAAUGGACUAGUCUAUUCACUCCCGGAGGAGGGUUAAUGUGACACCACAAUUUUGGUCAGCGGUUUAAAUUUCGGAUUGAUUAAAUUAAUUUAAAUAAUUCAAGGAAUUGACCCAGCAGUUGACCAAGUAUUAAAGGCUUGCAAGACUCGGAACAGGUAUCGGGUUGACUAAGUCAAUCAAAAGAGGAGUUAAGCCUUUGAGUUAUUGAACCGUUAGAUGAAUAUAAUGGUGAAGAGUUGGUUUUGAACCAUCCAAGUGAAAAAUGAGGACUGCUACUUUAAUUGGACGUGGACUUAACAUGUUGGGCUUGAGUCCAGUUGGAAUUAUGAUAACGAAGAGAGCUUGGGCCGUCAGAUUAAUCUAGUGGAUGAACUUGGGCCCGUUACCACUUAAGGAGAAGAGAGUUUUGGAGUGGACCAAUCUUCCUCUUCUCCCUAACCUAAUCGUGAACUGACAGGAUGAUUGAUAAGGAGACGCUGGCGGCAUCUCAUUGGUGGAGGUAGCCUUUGUUUGGGAAGGAUGGAAGGGCCCUUGCGGCAGCUGAGACUCGAGGAAGACCUAGAGGUAGCGGCGGCUCAAGUUAGGGGUUGUUUUGCUUGUCGAUGGAGAUUAAAGAGUAGUGGCGACGACUCUGGAUGCAGAGUAGCAAGAUUCGGCCACUGGUGGCGCGUGGGCAGCGUUUGUGGCCACUAGUGGCAGCAGACGAUGGCUGGCGAUGACGAAGGUAGAGGGGGAAACAACGUUUCCAAGAGGAUCGGAGGUUGUUGGAGCUUUGCCGGAGGGUCACCAGAAUCUAGUCAGCCUCGCCGGCGGCGAGCACCAGAGAAGAAGAGUGGUCAUCCCGCAACUUUGGAGAAGUUCGGUGACCGAUCUGUAUGUCCUAAAGGAUUAGUUGCUAAUCUGAAUUUGGUUAUUCUUAAGCCUUGCUUCGUUAGCUCUAAACUUUUGGAUGGUUUAUUAUUGAUGACUCGGGUUAUUUUUGUUAACGACUAGAAGUUUCGUAUCCAUUAGCAUAACAGAGGCAGGUGGAGGACUGGCGCAACGUUUCUGUCCCAACAACUUUCAGAUUGUUGCAAAGAAGUAAAUGUAGCAUAACUCGACCGUUUUGCCUCUAAACCACGCACGAUCAGAAGCUGCAGAUACUUGGCAGGUGGGGAAUCCCAUCAAGCCAGAAUUAGAGGUGUCAGCUUUUUUUAACAGUUGGGGGCACGAUUACUUUUCUGCUUAUAAGUUUAGAACUAUAAUAGGUUGUGAAGAAUCCAAUGACCGGAUUUUUCGUGACUCGGAGUGAGGGCUCUCAGAACCAUACAGUAAUGUAUGAUCUACUGUACAAAUGUUGUGAUGUAAUUUAGAGCAAGGGCUCUCAAGACUAAUUGUAGCGUGUGAUCUACUGUACAUAUGUCAUGAUGUGAUUUAGAGUGGGGGCUCUUAGGCUGUACAGUAGCGUGUGAUCUACUAUAAAAUUAUUAUUUUUAGCAUAAGCUCAUGGCAUUUGAGUUAUGACGUGUGAUUCAUAGUUCAUGUUAGGAUAGGAUAGGCGUAGUUAUACUAGCUCACAAUGAGUAUGUGUUGGUCACCCACUCCCGGAUUGCGCAAUCUCUUAGGUUAUAUUCAGGUUCAGGCAGGACUUGUAAAGUACGCCUACAGAUGCUGCUCUCACGGUAUUCAUGCUGGUUUCAUGGGAUGAUCCACCAUAAGGCCUUCCACACACAGUUAAGGAUGGCUGAUGCUAGGUAGAUGCUUACAGUGACUAUAGAGUCACAUUAUUAGAGUAAUGACUAGAUAGACUUCUAUGUUCUAUUCAUAUCCUUAGUAUUAGUCUUAGUUUCCCUCAGUUCUUAUCACUCGCCCCAUUACAUGUUGUUUUCCUUGGUGUAUUUGUGUAUUUCAAUCACGGGUACUGAAAUUGAUGGUGGAAAGAGAGCUGAUCAGAAUUUUAAUAUCUAUCGAUAUCUAUUUUGAUGUAAUUUCAGUUUUAGAGUUGUUCUCCUUUUGUUGUGUUGUGAUUUGGGAUCCUCUUUGGUCAGUGUUAUUAAAGUGUUUCAGUUAAGCUUUCAAUACUUGUGUUUCAUGCAUUUGUAAGUAGGUUUGAGUUGAGUUUUGUUCAGGUUAGAAUCUGAGUAGGAUUCCUCGGUUGAACCACUAGUUCGACCAAGACUUCUAAGGUGGGGUUUCACAGUUAAUGACUAACCUAAUUAUUUAAAUUUGGUGUUCUAGAUAUGCUAGCUAUGAUACCCCAUUUUGGGUUGACAGUUUCCUUUUUGGUCGAGAUCCCUUGUAGGAAGACGCAAGAGGUAUCAAGAUAGCUCCUAAGCUAACAAACCCAACUAAACUACUCGAAACUAGGGGGAGGGAAAGGANNNNNNNNNNNNNNNNNNNNNNNNNNNNNNNNNNNNNNNNNNNNNNNNNNNNNNNNNNNNNNNNNNNNNNNNNNNNNNNNNNNNNNNNNNNNNNNNNNNNNNNNNNNNNNNNNNNNNNNNNNNNNNNNNNNNNNNGCUCUAUCAUAACCAUCAUUACUUAGGCAGUAAAAAUAGUCAUGUAUGCUAGUAAUUUACAUUAAGGGAUGUAAAUGAAGGAAAUUGAGUUUAAUAAAGCGACCAUUUUCAGUAAUUAAAUCGAUUGUCAAAAGAGUUACGAAAGGGUGGCAUGAUUGGUGAAAAUGGAGAUAUGGAGGAGACAUUUAAUUAGGGCAAGGAUUAAGGGCUGUCUUUUUUAUUUAAUUAAUUAUUAAUUGCAGGGGUAAAAAUGAAAAGGCCCGAAUAUAGGAGAGUAAUUAACUUAUUUAUCGGAUUAAUUAUCCAUGAAUGAAUUUAACUGGUCGUUUUCCAAAAUAAUAAUGUCACCAUCACUAUAAUCGUCGGGGGAACGUCUGAUGGCUAUCGUUGGAGAAUCUGAUUACAGAUGUACUGUUACCAUCGGGGAAAAUUUCGAUGACCAUAAUGUAGGAGAUUGAGCUCCAAUUAUGAUGCAAAAUGGCCACGACUUAGGAGAUUGAGCUCCAAUUACGAGGUAUAAUGGCUAAGACCUAGGAGACUAAGCUUCAAUUACGAGGCAUAAUGGCCAAGAUCAACAUAGGGUCGUCAACAAACUUAAUCAAGCUAAUAAUCUUUCCCUUAAAAUUAAUGAAUGAAUCAAGCUAGUAAAACAAAAUCCAUCAUCCUAGAAAAGAAUGAUAAUUAAACAAACACAAUACAUAACAACAAAUAUUUCCAAAGGACAUGGACAAUCGAGAGACAUAUAACACACACAGGUCUUCUUAGUAGAAAACAAUAGACAAAUAAUUAAAGAUCUACCGAUUGAGCCAACAAUCAUACGAUCGAUGAAUCCCUAAUUUUUAUGAAGCAAAGCAUGAAAACAAGCAACAAUUAACAUUACUAAAUCUGCUUUAGUUUCUCAUAAUCAGAUCAUGGGUUAGUGAUUUUGUGGCCUCUUCUUUCGUUCAUCUACCAUUUUGAUUUGCCUCUUGUAUUUCCUCUCACAUCUAAUGAUAUCGAGAUUGAGCUAGGUUUGCAAAAGAAUAUGAACUCACGGUCGUCGUCCACCUUGAGAGUGACGAAGACGAAGGUGGUCGUCGCUCACUUGUUGAAGUUGAUGCCAUCCUCGAUCACGCCAUUCCCUUCAAGAUCCUGGCCAGCAUGUGGCCGAAAUCAUUGUCGUCGAGCCUACCGACAACGAGUUUCCCACUAGUAUGGAGAUCGCGAUUGCAACGUUUGCGGGUGUGCCACCGGUAGCCUUGUGGAAGCCUUGAGCCUCGACGAGGGAGACACCAGAUGCGGUAGGGAUGAAGUUGAUCAGCAUCUCAGCGAUGUUGAAAAUAAGGGAGGAGUCUGCUGAUCCACCAUUGGAGACCAUCUUAGGGGCCGUAAGUCUGUCACAGUUGUGGUUGUCAGAUAGACCAGAGAUGUGGUCAGCCAUUAGUCAUGGUUGUGACCAUCAAGAGAUCAUGGGUGUGACCAUUAGUAGGUCAUGUGCAUGGUUCCCUGGUAGUAACAUACAUGGUGUUAAGUCGGCCAGGGCAUGGCAGACUUAUUGUAAAACCAGAGUUGCGAUCAGCAGCUCAGAAUUACAGAAACCCCAAACUUAGAAUCAUCUAUGAAGAAUGAUAAUCAAUUUUAGGAGGUGGACAAGGCAGAGUUGAUCGAUCCCAGAUUAGUAGCAGAGGUUUAGAGAUCAUUGAGAAAAAUUCAGAAGGUCAAAAUGGAACAGGCGAUUAAGUUCUAGGAAGGAAGCUUCAGAUCAGACUCUAUCAGGAAAGCGUAUCAGUGGUGGGGGCUAAUAUUACUUUUCUACUUUAAGCAUAGAAUUGUAAUUAUGAUUGUCAAGAAUCUGAUGAUCGAAGCUUUAAGCAUACCGUGUGAUCUAUUGUACAUAUGUUACGAUUACAGAGCUGGGCUUGCAUGCUGGACAGUAUCGUGUGAUCUACUAUACAAACAGUUGUUUAAGUUUGAGUAUAAGCUCAAUGUGAUUGAGUUAUACGUGUGAUCCAUAGUUCAUGUUUAGGAAACGAUCAUGUUUAGCUAUAUGAGCUCCCGAUAUGUGUUGGUCACCCACCCAUGGAUUUCACAAUCCCCCAGGUCAAGUUCAUAUUUUUAUGCAGGAUAUGUCAAGUAUGCCUACAGAUGCUGCUCAUAUGAUUUUUGGGGUGGUUUCAUGGUCUGAUCCACCAUGAGGCUAUCUACUAUAGCUAGGGGUGGCUGAUGUUAGGAUGAUGCCUACAUGACCACAAUGUCACAUUACUAGAUGUCUAGUGAAGUUCUACGCGAGUCUAGUUUGGCCACUCAGUGCUUAUCACUAACCCCAUCUCUUCCUUGCAUGAUCAACUGUGGAACCUCAUGCGCAAAUGCCGCCUAAGAGAACUACACGAGCAGCGACACCUCAACCGAGUCAUAUAGUGAGGUACCUGAGAGGACCUCAUUAAUCCCUUUUCAUGUUUUCAGCUGUUUUCUUGAUUUCAGGAUUUUUAGUUGUGUUUAGUAGACUUCUCUAUAUAUAUUGAGAUUCCCUGUUUUGGGAUGUUUUUACAUUAUUUCUAGUACUUGAUUUCAGCCAUAGAUGCUCUAUUUUUCAUACGCUGUCAUUUACAUGUUAUGAGGUAUUUUAGGAUUAAAUCAUAUUAUGUAUGUUUAUGUGAUGAGUCAACCCCCGAGUAAUUGUAUGGAUCGAACCACAUGGUUUGAUCGGGUCGUCUAGGGCCGAAUUUCACAUUUGCUCUUUCGAGACAAUUACAAAUCUAACAAGAUCCUAUUCCAGAUGGCGAAGCAAGAAUAAGAACGGAAAAAAAUUAAACAUAAACAAAAAUCCAUCCAACUCGCAUAAAUUGUUAAAGUCGAACAAUCAUCCGUUCAUAAGAAAUUAUCUAGGGAUCAUCUAAUCUACGCACUAGGAGUUUAGCUAAUCAUAUUCAUUAAGGAAAAAUCAAAAUCAAUAAAGGAACACAUUGGAAUUAGGUUUACAAGAAGAAAUUCGAAAAACCUAACUUCUGCGAGAACUGUCGAAGAAAUCGAUCCAAGCUUCUUAAAUUUGAUGCCUUCUUGUCGCUCCGAACUCUCUGAACUAUGCUUUCAGAUUCACCCCAAAAGGGUCUCAGGUGAAUGGACUAGAGACAACCAUUAAAUAUAAUUUCAGAGAUCUUUAUUUCUACCAAAUUUUAUCAAUAAUUGCACUAUAACCCUUUAAAGACUGUGCUGAGGUCAUAGUACAAUCAAAGUAAGGAGAACUCUCUAACACAAGUUCAAAAACCUAUUAUCAACCUUUGCGUUAAGACCCGUAGGGAAACCUGCCCUAGACAACUCGAUCGAUCCACAUGGUUCGAUCCAGCCAAUAUUCGCAGGUUCACUCCAUCACUUCAUCAACUGAAAUAACUAAACUGAAAGAUCCUCAAAACAUAAAACAACUGCUGAAAAGAUAAACAGAGCAUCUAAGGCUUGAAUCUUGUAUCAAAGACAAAGUGAACAUCCCAACAUCUAGAGAUAAGCCUGAUCAAAACAACUGAAAACAAGGAAUGUGUGAAAUCAUGGAAACAUCUAAAAACAUGAAAAUGAUGAAAGGGAUAACUGAGGUCCUCCAUGGUACCUUUCUCUAUGAAUCCUAAAGUCACUAAGUGGAGGCGUCAGUUAGGUGGCAUUUUCUCCUGAUUUCCCAAGGUUGAUCGUACAUGAAGAAACGAGACGGGGGUCAGCCAUAAGCACUAAGUAACUAAGCCUGAACGUGAAGAACAAACUAGUAUCUAGUUAAGUGACCAUGUGGUCCUAUAGGUAUCAUCCUAACGUUAGCCACCCCUAGAUAUAAGCGGACAACCUCAUGGUGCAUCAGAGCACAAAACCAUCCUGAAAAGGCAUGAGAGCAACACUGAAGGUUAACUCAUCACAUCCAGUAUGAACCUGAAUGAAUCCUAGGGGAUUGCGCAAUCCAAAGGGUGGGCGUCCAAUGUAUAGCAGGAGCUAAUCUAACUAGUCCUGAUGCUCGAGCUAAUCUAACUAGUCCUUAUCCUAAUCAUGAACUGUGAAUCACACACAGUUCAUCGCUGUGAGCUUAUGCUUGAAAUUAACAACUAUCUAUGCAGUAGAUCACAUGCUACACAAUAACCUAAAAUACUCAACUACAAUUCACAACCACAAGUACAGUAGAUCGCAUGCUACUAUACAGUCCUGAAAAUCCAAGCAAGGAUUCCUAUCAACUAACUAUAAUUCUUCGCCGAACCCCUACCUCUGAAAUUUUUUCCUCUGAAGAGUUUGAUCUGAAGUUGUCUCCCUAAAGCUCGAUUGCUUGAUAUGAAUGACAUGUUGAGAUCAAAUGUAGGAUUCAAAUCCCAAAAUCCCCAAACUCUAACCUGUCAGGAUUUCCCUACGUAGGAUUCAAAUCAAAGGAUUGACAAACGAGGAAGAAGAUAGAUUACCUUCUAAAGCUUCCUUACAGAUCUCUAAGCCUCUCUUACCAGUCAAAUGGUCAUCCCCUCUCUAUAGAAUCAAUCACCGUUCGUUAGUGAUAUUACAAAACUAGGUUUCUGUAAUUCUAAGUUCUAGAAAUUGCGGCUCUAUUUUUAUAAUUAGCCCACCACACACAUGGCCUACUGAUGGUCAUGGUCGUGAUUCUCCUGUCAGCCACGAUUAUGACCUUCACUUACCACAGACGUUAUCUACCUGAUGAUCACGUCCAUGAUAGAGUAUCCGUCAUGCCCGUGAUAGUCCAUCUGACAACCAAUUCUCAGAGACUCAUAGAAACCGAAUUAAACCUACUGAUAAAAUUUUUCUCCUUCCUGGCCUUGAUAGAUUGUUGAAUAUAUGUCGUGUUCAAAUCCCCAGCAUUAACACAAAGAUCUCAAGACUUUUGGGGCCGAAAGGACUCCUCCAAGAAGUGGAGUGUAGUCCAAGCUACCAUAUUGACCAUUUUAGUAGUGGGGGAAGGCAAAUUCAAAGAAUCAAUCUGAGACUAUUUAAGAAGAAUUUUAGCAGCCUUAACUUUCUCCCGAGUAUUAUGAAAUGCUUCCAGAUUCAGGCACUUACGAGCAAUCUCCACCUGAUAACGUUUACCAUACAAACCAUAGUAGAAUUCCAAGCAACUUUUACAAUCUCAUCAUAGCUCUUAUGCGCGAACACAUAUUGAAGAAUUUAAAAGGCUUCGGGACAGUAACAACUUGAAUAUCAGUAGUCAUCAGCAUACAACUUGGUCAGAGAACGAAGGGGGAAAUAAGACCACCUGGAAAUUAGGGAAGGCAUCUGACUAGUCUGACUUAAUCAUCACCCUAUCUAGCCUCCCUAAUCCAAGAACAAAACCCCCUCAUACUUCCAAUUGCAAACUGUAUCCAACCCCUCGUCAUGAGGGGCUCGUCCUAGUACUUACCAACACCCUAAUCUAACAACUAAUAAUCUAGCUUAUGAUGAUUGAUAUAAUAGCUAAGGGAAAAAAGAAAACAACCAUUAUCUUAAAAGGAAUGCAAAGAUGGUGACGCUUGCUCCAAUCUUCAGUCCAAGCUCUCAAAGGUUCUCUAAUUUAAUCUUCUAAGGCUCCAAUUGAUGAUGGAUGAGGUGCAAUUUUCGGACUAGGCUUUGGUUAGGAGAGAAAUGGGGGUGAUGAAACAAUAUGAAGCCAAAGAAUGCUCCCUCUCUCCUCAAAAUCCAAAUCCUAUUCCUCUGCCUGCAAGGUCCACAUGGCCUAUGGAUCCACACGGCAUCCACACGCCAUGUGGCCUCUUUCCCAACCGGGCCUUCCGUUUUUCAAUCACACUUUUCUCCCUCUUCCGACCUCCGUUUGAGCUCCGAUUGGUAUCGCCAUAAUUGUCUCAUCGCCAUCUAUGUAACUGAUACCUGCAAGCUCAUAUGCCACAUGAGAAAACAUGUCAAACGGUCCAAAAUGGUCCAUUCCAAACAAUGCUACACAAAACCCUUGUUUCUCCCAACCAAUCAUAUUGGUGGGUCAAAAUAAGGUCAAACGAGGUCAACAAGGUGUCAAAAUGGGGUCAAAUCAGCAACGAAUAAUCGUGCUAUCAGCUACAUUAUUCACUUGAGACGUCACGAACCCCAAAAGAAGGGAGGUAUUCCAUAACCGUACUUGCUCUAGGCAAUCGAGUCUUGUGUUGUGCAUUUGAUAGCUACAUACGUGCAUCAUGCUUAGAAAGAACUUUUGAAAACAGCUUUUGUAAAGUGAUUAUGAAAACCUUUCCGAUAGAGGAUCAUUAAAAAGACCAUUCUACUUGUAGUUUCAACCGAAGCGGUUCACAAGGUAGAAAGGUUUUAGUUAACCCUCCACUAGUUGUGUUAGAUUAUAAGAAGGUGCAAGACGUACGCGGAGUAACUUUUGAAGUUGAAAUUGAAGAUCCUCAAUUUGCCAUCAACUAGCUUUGUAAUUUGAAGGAGGUCUUUGACCAACUAAGGGAUACACCGGAUAAUCAGCUUUGCUACUCGGUCUUCUUACUUCGUGGCCAUGCUAGGGCCAUGUGGGGAGAUAUAACAAUUGAUGAGGAGGAUCCCUUCUCAUUGGGCUGGGAAGAGUUCAAAAUGAGAUUCAAAGUCAAGUUCAUUCUUGAGCAGUGGAAGGAGGACAAGGGGUUGGAGUUUAUGUCCCUCAAGCAUGGAAAUAUGAUCCUAAUGGAUUGUUACAUUAAGUUCACUCGAUUAUUGAUGCGGCAUCCUACUAUCCCGGCUGCGCGUAAGGCAAUGAAGAAGAAACGGUUCCUAGUAGAACUUCAAACAAGCAUUCAGAAGGGGCUAGCAAGUUUUGACAUGACUAGCAUGACGACCAUCAAGCAGGCAACAAUGAGAGCUGAACACAUGGAUAACAUGGGAAAGGCAGAAUGGAAGGAAAAGAAUGAAGAUAGGAAGAGGAAGGCAGUGAAUCAAACACCAAGUCACUCUAACGAGGGAUCAGUGAUGAAAAAGGGAUCGAGUGUGAUAACACAUUAGAGACUAAUGCUGACGAUGUUGUGUCAACAGAUAAGUUCCUCACCUUUGGAAAAUCCAAUUUGUCAACAUUGGGGGCAGAAACAUUUUGGAGAAUGCAGAAUGGUGUGAAGGGGAUGCUUUAGGUGCAGUGAAUUAGGACAUUGGGUUAGCAACUGCCCAUUAAUGGAUGGUCAAGCACCAUAUGAGGUCUCUAUUCAAUAGAAUAACCGAGCUCCAUUUAGGAGUGUAUUUACAGGAGGCAGUGGAGAUGGUUUAUAAGGAAGCAAAGGUUCUCUAGUGGGUUGAGGAAUGGGAGCCAACACACAACCAUUAGGUGGUUGUUCCCAAACCACAUGAGUUGCACAGAUAGGAGGAAAUACUCACGGUCGUGUUCAUGCUAUGACACGGGAGGAGGCGAAGGAGACAUCUGACACUGUUACUGGUAAAGUCUCCAUCCUUGGAUGUACCUUAUAGGCCUUGUUUGAUACUGGUUCUACGCAUUCCUUCAUUUCUUGACAAUCUGCGUUAAACUUGCAAGUAGAACCUGAAGACAUUCUGUUACAUUCAAAGAAUAAGAAGGCGUAUACUGAAACCUCCAAAUUUUUCUUAGUGUUCUAAGGGAGAAAAGGUUAUAUGCCAAGUGUUUAAAAUGUGAGUUUUGGUUCAAGAAAAUUCUAUUCCUGGGACACCUAAUAUAUGGAAUGGGAAUUAAGAUUGACCAAAGAAAAAUUGUUGUGGUUAAGUGGAAGCCACCCACUGAUGUAUUAGAGUUACGUAACUUCCUUUGUAUGGCAGGUUAUUAUAGAAGGUUUUGUGGAAGGAUUCUCAAAUAUUGUUGCACCAUUGACAAAGCAGUUGAGAAAGGACACUCCUUAUAAAUGAGACGAGGUGUGUGAAUCAAGUUUUGAGGAGUUGAAGACUACACUCACUACCACGACAGUACUCACCUUACCAACCCCUAGAGGAGAAUACAUGGUGUCCAGUGAUGCUUCUUAUCAGGGUUUGGGUUGUGUAGUAAUGGAUAGGAAGAUAAUCGCCUAUGCAUCAAGGCAAUUACGAUCACACCAUGCCAUAUACCCUACCCAUGAUCUAGAAUUAGUGGCUGUCGUUUUUCUUUAAAUAUAUGGUGAUACUACCUUUAUGAUGAAACAUUCAAGAUUAUGACGGAUCAUAAGAGAAUUAAACAGUUGACAGAGGAGGUGGAUUUAGUUAUUGAAAGACUAUGACUUCAUUAUGGAAUACCAUCCUGGAAAAGCUAAUGUUAUAGCAUAUGCAUUAAGCAGAAAGGAGUGACUUCUAGAUUUGGUGGAGAUUCGAGCCUGAAGGGUGGAGAUGGAAGUUGAUGAGCUUGCAACAUUGAUGGGUCGAUUAACUAUCAGGCUCUUACUUCAUGAUCGAAUGCAAGAUAGACAAAGAGAAGAUUUCAAGCUUCAAAAGAUCAUGAAUGAGGUAGGAAAAGGGGAGAAAAACCAGUUUGAGAUAUCAAAUGGCUUGCUAAAGUGAAAGGACAAGUGUGUGUCUUGGAUGUGGAUAACCUACAUAAAGAGGCAUUGGACGAGGCGCAUUCUUCAGUUUAUGCCAUGCAUCCAAGGCGAUAAAGAGGUACCACACAAUUAGAUCGCAUUUUUUGUGGCCGGGAAUAAAGAGAGAGGUGGUUGAACAUGUAUUGACUUGCUUAGUCGGCCAAAAGAAAAACGUGGAGCAUCAGACACCCGUCAGGUGAACAACAUUCGUGACCUAUUCCAUUAUGGGAGUUUGAGCAUAUUACUAUGGAUUUUGUGAGCGGUUUACCUCCUACAAAAGAAGGGAAAGAUGCAGUAUUGGUAAUUGUGGACUGAAUGACUAAGGUAGCUCACUUCAUUCCAAUCGGAUGGAAGCCCAACAAUGAAGUGGUAGCAAGGCUAUAUGUGGAGAACAUAGUACAACUUCCUAGGGUUCCCCCUCAAUUGUGUCGGAUCGAGACCCUAGCUUCACAUCACAUUUCUGGCAAAGUUUGCAUCAAGCAUUAGGAACAAGGUUGAAAUUCUCUAAAGCUUAUCAUCCGUAGAUAGAUGGGCAAUCAGAGUGGACCAUACUUACUCUUGAAGAAGUUCUACGGAUAUGUGUAAAUGAGUUAGAAAAGCCAUGGACAAGGUUGUUACCUCUUGUAAAAUUUUCUUACAAUAACUCCUACCAUAGUAAUUUGUGCACUGCUCUAUAUGAGGCAUUGUAUGGACGGAAAUGUAGAACUCUAUUGUGUUGGGAUGAAGAAGGGGAAAGACAGAUGAAGGGGCGAAAACUAACUCUGGAAACAGCUUAAGGUGAAAGUUAUUCGAGAAAGGCUUAGAGUGGCUAGGAUUGCUAGAAAUAGUAUGCAAACCGUCGAGCUCUGUAAAUAAAUUAUAAGGGCGGUAAAAAGGUUUUCCUAAAGGUGUCUCCUUGGAAGGCCAUGCUGAGGUUUCGGAGAAAAGGGAAGUUGGCCCCAAGGUACAUUAGACCUUACGACAUUAUUGGUGAAGUGGGACCAGUUGCUUAUGUCUUAGCUCUAUCGAAUGACUUGGAUCGAAUUCAUAACGUAUUUAAUGUGAGUAUGCUAAAAAAGUAUCGCGUGGACCCAUCCCAUGUGAUCAAACUGGAUGAGGUAGGUUAGAAGAAGAUCUGAUGUAUCAGGAGGUGCUAGUCCAAAUUGUAUAUUCACAUAUUCGGGUUUUAAGAAGUAAGCGGAUCCCGAUGUUGAAGGUGAUAUAGAGGAAUCACGAGGGUGAGUAUCCUAUGUGGGAAACAGAGGCGAAUAUGCAAGAGAAGUAUCAUGAGCUUGUAGACACGUAUCUACCAAGUUAAAUUUCUUACUAUGUGAUUUUAUAUGCUUAUGUUGUGAUCACUUAUCAAAGGUCUUACAUACCUAAUAUUUGGAAACUUGACUUGUUAUGUGCUUAUUUGCAUGUGAUGCAUAUGUGGUUAGGCGACAAAAUAUAGAUUCGUAGUAAGAGCUAAAGUUAAGAUUCUGAGGAUGAAAUCUCGUAAGAGGGGAGAAGUUGUAACAUGUCAUCUUAACUGCGCCACAAGUUUGUUUAACUCAACAUACUACUGGUCAUAUCCUUUGAAUAUCUGCAUAUCCAAAGUUGAUGAACUUAGUAGGUGAGUUUAAUUAAAUGUGAAGUUUCCACCCACCACAUUUUUAGUAGAUGGGAAGAAAAAGAUGGCGAUACACCCACCUAUCCACAAAAUGUCAUUGCGUUUCCUUCCCUUGUCUGCGUAUGAUAAGCAUAUUCAUCCCUUAAGUUGCUAAGAGGAAGAAGACAAUAACAUUUGACUAUAAAAAUACAUUAGUUUUACAGUUAAGGAUGAAUACAUCAGUCGGUAGUUAAACUUGAGAGGAGGUAAUUGUGCAUUCUAGUUGGGAUUAGAGAGUACAGAAGUUGAGAGGGGCUUCGACCCGAAGGCUCAUACCGGUGUUUCUGCUAGCCUUUUUAGUGAGGGCCACCAGCAUAUCCGAUAGGGUUAAAUGUUCCUUUACGUGUCAAUUUUUAUGUCAUAUGCAUGCAUGCUAGGAGAGUGACCCUAUGCAUUUAUUUCAUUAUGUUUACUAUAUUUGUGACUUAUAGUGGAUAUGAAAUAUGUUAUGUUGUCUUGCUAUUAUUUUUGGCAUGAUAUAUGUUGUGACCUUAUCUUUACUUGAUGAGUAAUCUCCUAGAUAAUUAUUUUAUGGGAAAUAAAUGGGUAAAUGUUUGAUCACCUAAUUUAGGAACCAUAGGCUGGCGGUCUACAUGUGUGCAUAUUGCACUUCAGUUACAUGUGUGUUACGUGAUGGAUUUUUUGUUAUGUGAUUAUCUGCACCCUAGGUUAACUCAGUGCUAAAGACAAUCACUCAGUGAUUUGCACUGACCCCUUAUUUUUCCUCAGACUUACAGUCAAAGACGCUGGUACACACUGAGAUUCUACUGUUGAUCAUCAUGUCAGGUAGAAUCAAAAAAUGGGUCUUGAUCCUCACUGUUUAUUUAUGGGUUUUAAACUCGUUUGUGUUUUAUAUUGUUUGACCAUAUGUAUAAGUGAUCUGACAUCGUGUGUAUUUAAGUGAUGCUAGGUUGUCUUAUUAUGUGUAAUGGCCAUAGAGGCGACGUCUUUGGUAACUCUACUAGUAUUUGUGGAGAGGAAGACUUUUUACCUCUGCCUUUCCUCCUAGACCUCUAUUAUGGGUUGAUACAACGUGAGUUUAUAUAAUCUUGGUGCAACGAUUUGAAAGGUGGCUAUUUCGAGUUUCUCACAAUGUGGGUCAAAACGGGCUCAAUAAUUAACAAGUUCAAUAGGGGACUUAUCUGGUGAAUGACUUUCGUAACGUAGCAUCCCAUAACAUUUUUUUGCUAUUUUUACUAGAAUCAACAUGAUUUUAUGAUCGGUGUGUUUGGGGUGUUACAACAUAUUUGAUCUCCAUCCAUGAUUUGUGAGUAUUUUUCAGAGCCUCUCACUAGCAAUUCUCUCUAUCCAAAAAACAUUCGACCUACCCUUGCUAUCUAUCUUUCGGUCAUUCAAUUUACCACCAAGUUUGACGACGUGGCUUUGUGAAGUGGCUAAACUUAACUGAAAAUGUAUGGAAAGGAUAAUGAAAGUGAUCAUUUUUCAGGUUGGUUAAGUAAAAGGGGGAACAAGGAAAAUUUAAUAGUCGAAGGGUUUGAUAUUAACUUGUUAAAGUAGAGGGGGCCAAAAUACUAUUAUCCGGAUUAUAAAAUGAGGAAGAAACGAGGGGACGAUAAUGUAUAAAAGGCAUGGUUAACUUAGCAAAGUAGAGUGGGAAAAAUAUUAAAACCCUUAUUAUAAAAUGAGGAAGGAGGACGGGACGACAAUGUAUAAAAGGCGUGGUUAAGCAAUAUCGGACUGGCCGGUCCGACCGGUUCUACCGCAAACUGGCGAAAGAGCUGAAACCGAGUCGUUGGUUGAUGAGACUGGUCAAAACCAGGCAUUGACGCGGGUUGACCGUCAAAUUUGGCCAUUUCGAGUGAAAUUGGUUGGCCGGAUGGACCCGAUAUUUGUCACUACACUUUUUAUUUUUCAAAAAAGGAAGAGUGGGAUUCGAACCACGAUCUUUCAAGUAGAGAGGAUGAGUGAUUGCCAUCUCUACUGAUAUGAUAAUUUAAUUAAAACGUGCAUUUAAGGGAAAAACUCUAAAAUGCCACGACCUAUAUACAUAUCGCCAAAAAUGUCAUCACAAUAUUGAUAUAGUUUCUACGUCACGGCCUAUCUAGUUUCAAGCAGAAAAUGUCCAGUCGUUAGUUUUCUCCGUCUUCCGUUAGUCUAUUUCGUUUCAUUUUGCCAUGCCAUUUUUUAGGAUGAGUGAUUGCCAUCUCUACUGAUAUGAUAAUUUAAUUAAAACGUGCAUUUAAGGGAAAAACUCUAAAAUGCCACGACCUAUAUACAUAUCGCCAAAAAUGUCAUCACAAUAUUGAUAUAGUUUCUACGUCACAACUUAUCUAAAAUUUUUUUAAAAUGUCCCGCCGUUAGAUUUUUCCAUCUUUGAGCUGACGUGGAUAGCGUGUCGUUAAAUGAAUCAGCGUAACUGGAUGUUUUAAAUACCACAUUGCAUUACGUUUAUCUGACUGCAUAAUUAAUAAUUUAUUUUUAAUUUUAAAACUCAAUUUAUCAAAUUUAUUCUGCACCGUCAGUUUCAUGUUAUCACCACCUUCCUUCUUUUAAACCCUACUUCGUCCACCAUGGCUAGAACUCGCCUCCUUCAUUGUAAGCUCUUCUUCCCAUCUUAUCUCCAUUUCUUAAUUUCUUUCCGUUACAAUGCAACAACAAUUAGUAUUAAUUUGGCCUCCUGACAUUUCUAGAAAAUUUAAAAAGCCUAGGAAUCCAAACCUGGAAGAUGCUAUUCGGGAAGGAAAUAGUGAUGGAGCUGGCUUUCUACGAUGCCUACGCCGGAGAAUCCAAAGACGGCAGCUUGUCCGCCUCACCCGCAAGAUUCUCAAUGGGAGACGCCGUCUCUAUGUGCGUGGUGGUCUCCAAACCGGUGGGAUCCACCAAAUGUUGCACCUCCUACGACGACUUGUCAUACGCGAAUUUAGCGUUGUGUAGAUCCAGAUUCUCGAGGUUGAAAGGCGUUGUUCAUUUGCAAUCGGAAGAACACAAGAGUUUCAAGGCUGAUGCCCUGGACUGGAGUGGGAUCUGAUCUACAGAUAAAGUACUGAUUUAAUUUCAGCCCGCAUAGAAACUGGAAGCUCGAAUGUGACGUCAUUGACUGAAAGGACAAAGGUCGUCAACGACGAAGAACAUGAAGCAAACCUGGAGGAAUCGAACCAGUGAGAUUGUUCGAAGAUAGAUUGAGAUUCACAACACCUGGCAACAAAUCAUCGACAAGGUCGAAGAGACAAGCUCUCCGGAGAAUCUGUUGUCACAGAUGUCGAAGUGAGGGAAAGAUGGAAAAAGAAUAGAUUAAAUAGUUCAGAUGGACGGUGAAGCUUGAUAAAUAAAAAAUAUUUACAUUUUAAAUUAAAAUUGAGUUAAUAAUUAUCCAAUCAUAUAAAUAUAAUUCUAAAAAAUAAAUAUAACCCUAAAAAUUAACAUGUGGCGGGUCAAAUGGUCAAUUUUACCUACUCAUUUGACAUCGUCAAGUCCACGUUGCGUUGAAUAAGGAAAACUUUACCGACGGGACAUUUUUGGUAAAAUUUUAGAUAGGUCGUGACAUAAAAACUACAUUGAUAUUGUGGUGACUUUUUUUGCGAUAUGCCUAUAGGUCGUGGAAUUUUAGAGUUUUAUUGAUAAUAAUAACAAAACAUUAUGAUAGCUAAUUAACACUAAAAACUAGGAUAUUAACAAAAAUUAAGUAAAUUGUGCAUUAGAUCUCGAUUAUUUGAUUAAUAAAAACUUUAAAUCAUUUAUAUAAUUUAAAACUUCUUAACAAAUGACUCAAUAACUAUAUUUUUGACAAAUUAAAUUAUGUCAUUAUGAUAUUGAACUCUCUAUACUACCGAUUUGAUCCGGGUUAAUCAAAAAAUCGUCCAGUCCGACUUAACUAUAUUUAUUUAUUUAUUUAAUAAUUAAAACGGUCCAACCUGGUUUUGAUAACGGUCGGACCCGAUCGAACCAGAAAUGAUCCAACCUAAUUUUGAGAACGGUCGAACCCUAAAUGAACCACAAAACUGUAAACGCCUAACCCCAAAUUUCGGUUAGUCUUCCCAUUUUUAGGUCAAAAUUUUCGAUUUUCAAAAUUUGGGAUGAUUGGGUACACUUGUAGUGAACAUUGUGCUUGGAAUUUUGUCAAUGAUUGCCUAGGAUUAUUAUUGUGUGCUUGAACUUGUUGUUCACUUGGUUUUUCAUUUUUUCAAAAAUGGUAGAAUUUUUUAGUUUAGCCGAUUGUCGGAAAUCUGACAUUUUGAGUUGUUCUUGAUUUCCAGGUGUUUCAUUUGAUGGUUAUAUGUAUUGAUUAUGCCUCUCCCCUGCUUGUUUUCUCAGUCUCUUAUUGUUCGAUGAAAUUUUCUUUUUCGUCAAAUUGUUGGGAUACUGACAUUUUGUCAAUUUUUUCUGAAUUUUGAUAUGUGAGCUGUCUUGUUCGAAAAUUUUGUGCCCAUUGUGCUUCAAUACCAUAUAUGAUGCUUAUGAUUGCUGUUUGAUGUGAAUUAUGAUUUUUGGUAUAUGAUGCUCCAAUUGUGGCUUCAGUUUUGCCCCUUCCAGAUAUGGCCUAAAGGAUUUACAACUUCCCAGAACAUAAUGAGUUUGCCCCUCCGAUACGGAGUGUAACGGACUUGUUUAGUGGCCCCAAGGGGUACAUCGAUUUGCAGGGUUUUGUGGACAAAGGUCGGGGAGGUCUUCUGAAAAUUUACAGCGACUAAGUAGGUAUAUGGGAGCUGGUACAUGUCUCUGACUUGGAGCUUCCACACACGACCAGGGAGUUCUACUCCAUCCUGAAGAUCGUGAAAUACACUUCGACUAGACAGGCGGGUAAUAUUACCUUCUGACUUGGGGUUUGGGCUUUCUCCUUUUUGGCAGAAAAAUUGGCAAAGCAUAUGGGUUUUCUAUACUCGCGAUCAGUUGGCCAACUUGAAGCUGAUGUCGUUGGCCACUAUUGACAUGAAGCCAACUCCGAACUCGAGGGAGUUUUGGCAGUUUAUGUCGGUGCCAUGUAGAUUAAGAGGCCAUUGUUGAGGCUUAUUCACUUGAUGUUUCGACGCGCCAUCACUUCUAGGAAGGAGUUUAGCAACUGGGGAGUUGUGACUACCACAGACUUGUGGCUCUUCUACUUUCUCGAGAAGGAAGUGAAGGUGCACCUCGCCGAAUUGCUGGUUGGGCUUUUCAGGCAUGUCCUCGAGAUGAGAUAUUCGAGAGUUCUUUUUGUAGGGGACUUCAUCGCAUGACUGGUGUGAUAACUUGGAGUGUUGGAUGCUUUCUACAAGGACCCAUUGCUCCAACACGGGUACCCCAUCACUAUAACGAUGCUUCAUGAUCAUAGAGUGCCUAAUUUGGGAGUUGGUGUUGUUUCAGCGGGACCAGAGAUACUAGAACGUAAUAGGACAUACUUCCCCGUAGAGUCAGAUGAGACUCUUACAGCCGACUUGGGUGGUUUACAGAUCAUCAUGAGUGAUGUUGUGAACACCCAGAGAGGAUUGAGGCAGGAUUUUCAAGAGUUUUGCCAGGACGUACAGUAGUAUGCCGCCUAGACAAGAGAUGCUUGGGGACGUUAGGUUCGGUGAGUUGAGCAGUUUGAAGAGACUCAGGCUCAGCACCCUCAGUAGAUUUCGCAACAGGUUCAGCAGAUUACAUACAUACACCAGUAGCAACACUGGCCGAGUGAACACAUGUCCUACUACUAGGACAACUACUUCACCGGAGUGACCUACCCCCUUACGUGGCCAACAAAUCCACCAGCACCGCGGUGGCCAGAGUAUGGCAUGUACCCAUGGUUCCCAAGGUACCCAUGUCCUCCGCUAGAUCAGUGAUUUUGGGACGUAUCAGUGACUCAUGCUUUUAUGUUUUAUUUUUCCAUUUGAGACUUGGUGAAUUUUCUUUUUCUUGUUUUGUCUUUUGGUCUAUAUAACGGAUGAUAACACUUGUUACAUCUAUCACUAGUAUGUUGUUUGUGUUAUGGUUGGCAGGUCCCAAAAAUGAUUCUUCUAUCGCAUCUAACCACAAAACUCCAUUCCAUCAACUCAAUUCGGUAUCAACUCAACUCUUCUCUUAUUUGACCCCUUGUGAGGGUAAUGUUAUGAUGUUCUCGGAUGAAUUAGGGUGUUAGUCAUUUCACUUGAUUUCUUUAAUUGAACCUUUGUCACUCAACAUUUGAAAUUUCUACUUAAACUUGAAAACUUUGGAUGACAUGGAUGCAUAUUUAGUAUAGUAUUGCUACUUGAGGGUGAAUAGGAUGCAUGAUAGAUCAUUUUGGGACCACCUCCUGAUUUUCUCGAAUCGAGUUUAGAAUCAAUUUAUGCACUUGGUUACUCAGUCUUGAUGUCUACCGACGUUGCAAACAAUUAAUUCCCCUAUCCAGUCGCUCUAGUUAUUUCAAGUCAUAUGUGACUAGAUGGUCCGAGUAAGGUGCAAACGAGGCCAAUGUGCCCAAAUUAUCGUCGGAGUUCGGUUGUGAUUCAACACACAUGGCGACUUUGAGUCUAUCGCCUGUAAGCUAGUCCCUUCAUUCGAUCUAUUUGGAUGAGAGCCUUAGCCCGAUCAGGGUCACAACUACCCCCACCUGAAAAGAUACCCCCCAAAAGCUAUGCACAAAUUUCGAAAGAUGGGUUUGCAAUUAAUUGAGUAAUUCAUUUGACCCAAGGUGUUUAACCUAUCAUAUAUAGAAAAAUUGUAAGACAAGAGGAGAGUGCUCUGAAUUUGAUAUAUUAUUGAAGUAGGCACUUCCUCUCUCAGGACAGGAAAAAAUACCUGGCUAGGACCAUCUAUUUUGAGCAUAACUAUUCAGUACCCAUGUUUUGUUUGGUCGGUAGGUGUUGAGUAGUACUAACUAUAUGCAUAAGUUUGUUCUUUAUUUUGAUUAGAAGACUCGGUAAAUAUAAUUGUGUGGUUUCACUUUCAUAAUGUUUAGAGUUUGUUUAGAGUGCGAAUAGUCAAGUUGCUCAAGGACAAGCAAGGUUCAUGUGUGGGGGGAUUUGAUAGUGAUAGUAUUUGUAGUGGUUAUCUAUCUCUAUCUACAUGCUUUUGAAGUGAAUAUUAGCUCGUUUGUGCUUCAAUUCAGUGUGGUUUUGCGUCUUGGCAUUGUGUCCCUCGCCCCGUUCACUUGGACCGUUUCGGUCCAUUUCAUGUGUUUCUUUGUAGUAUUUGUUAUACACAGGUACUUUCGAAGAAGGUGGUCUGGCUAUGAAGCUACGGACGCGGAAUAGAGCACAGUUCGAACUCGAACGAAAGGACGGUGCAAGACUUGGUAAAGAAGAAGGGAUACGCGCCUUGCAUUACUGCACCCCGCACACCCCUAAACUUGAAUUACCCUCGAAGCUAAAGGGGGUGCACGGUGUGCACAGCAGGCCCUAAAGCUGGAAUUACUAUCAUUGCUAAAGGGGGUGCACGACAUUCACCUCCCGGAUGCAGCAACUACCAAAUAAAAUCCCGAAUUCAAGGAAAGAGAAACAAGUUCUUCUUCAACAAAAAAUUCCCAUGAUUUCUCCCAACUUCUCUCUGCAAAAACGUCCAUUUAUUCACCCCUAGAAUUCUAAUCGAAGAUCCGAAGGAGUUAUCAUUGAAGAUUGAUGUUAGGAUUUAAGUUAGAAGGCCAAAAGUGAAGAUUGGAGCAAGCUUGAUUCAUCUUCUCUUUAUCAAGAUGAUGGUUAUGUCUUUUUUGAUUUUUCUUCUUCUAGAGUUAUGAGUAGCUAGAUCUCUAAAGUUUUUGGUUGGGUUGUAAUGAAUUUAGCUAUUGAUAAUCUCCCUAAAAUUACAGGGUCGACCAUUGUUGGAUAAUUGGAUUUGAAUGAAAGAUUGCUUUGAUUGUUGGUUUUCAACCUCGUUCUCGUUUUGACUUGAAUUGGGUCAAAUCUAUGAAACCCUUUGUUUGAUAGAGUUAGGAAUUUAUAUGAUUAACAAUCUAAGAUAGAAGAACAUUAUCAGUGGAGUAAGCCAAUAGCUUUAUUCUACCUUUCGUGUUUCUUUUAGUUUUAAAGGUUGUUUAUCGAGUAAUUGGCGGGCGUUCUGAUUUGCACCUAAUGGAUCAAGUGGGUGUAGGUAUAUAUAGCUUCGGAGUUGAUGGACCAAGUUAACACUAAUUCCAAUUGCUUGUGAUUUCCCUUAAUUCAAAGAGUGCACAUUAUCACUUUGUAGAACUUCUCGGUGUUCAUUAUUGGUUAGCCUAGUUGAGGUGAUUUCAACCUUGAUUGGGAAGCUAGUAGUGGUAAUCUGCGUGCAUAAUUGUUUCGUGGAUUCAUACGAGUGAUAAGAGGAAUUAAGUUAUUCAAUCCAAUUCCAACGUUUGCUCGAUUCGACUACUAUUAGGAAGUUGAGCUUGAUGAAUUAUCCCUCCCAAGAACAUGUCUUCUCCUUCUCUUCAAACUUAAUUCUUGAGUUCUAAUUGAUAGUGAUAAUUAAUUUAGUAUCAUAACUUGAAACCAAUCCCAAAUUAUUCAGUCUAGACCGUGCUAUUAAGUUUGAGUAGAAGCAUAGCGAGAGGAAUCUUUGUAUACAUACGACACUUGUGUUGUCGAUAUAACUUAACAGUUAUUUUGGCGAUCAACUAGCAUCCUUAAACAAAAGCUAAACUUCUAUACCCUUGGUUGCGAUUGUGUAUUACUAUUAUAUUUAACCAUAUUGGUUGCAUAGCUUUCAUGGGAGGAGUACAUAAUUGGACCCAGGGGUGUUCAGCUAUAUCUUGUGAUUUUUUCGUCCAAUUGAUGGACUCGUUAUAACGAUGGCCUUUAACUGUUUGUCCUCCUUUGGAAAGAAGAAAAACUUAUCGGUGAAUACUUUCGUGUAUUUGGUAUACCAAAGUUUUCAGUGCGCGCGAUUUUCAUGGGUAGCGUAGAUAUCUCAUCAACAUUUAUUUUAAGUAUUGAAUCUAGACGCUUGANNNNNNNNNNNNNUAAGUAUUGAAUCUAGACGCUUGAUAAUUCAUAAUGUUUUAAAUCUUAGUUUCAUAUGUCUUUUUUUGCUUUCAAACAUAAUUUGAACUUUCAAACUCGUCACUCUCGUUAUUUACUAUAACCGUGUUCCGAUCGGGUAUUUUGAACAUGGGACAAAUUUGUAAUAUGAAACGCCUAAACACUUCAUGCUCGAUAAAUCUAAAAGGAAGUUCAUCCAGUAAAAUCAUUUCUACAAAAUCUUUCCUCGAAUCCAAUUGGUCAAAUUUCCAAUUACUUACUUGGUAAUUGACGAUGUUUAACCGCAGAUUCAAAGUUGACAUCACCUUGCUGUUUUUCAUGGGAAAAUAUGAAAUAAUAUUUUAGAUCAAUUUCUUUAAUCUUAUUAUGUCAGAAGGUAUGGAGCUUCAUAAAAUAGUGGAAUUUGUAAAAGAUUUCGGUGUCAGAACGAACAAAAAAAUAGUGGAAUUUGUAAAAGAUUUCGGUGUCAGAACGAUCAUCAAAUCGUAUUGUCUGACCCUCGUCUCAGUUCUCAGAGAAUCGAAAUAUAAGUGACCUUGGCAAUAUUAAGCAUUAAUCGAGCGAACAAGAACGAUUUUGUCUUUAAAUGAUCAAAUUAUUUGUUCUUGUAUCCCUAAAAGGUUGAACUCCAUGGUCAAUAAAAUCACAGAAAUUAUAGAACUGGAAUUUUUCUGCCUAACUAGAUCUAAAAUUUUAUGUAAAUUCCUUGUAAUGGAUGUGCCUUUUGGGUAACGAAUAUAAGCAGCACAAUUUGUUUCUAAAAAGAAUCAAAGCGACAGAGAUGCAUUAGUAGAGAAGAAACAAAUCAUAUUAANNNNNNNNNNNNNNNNNNNNNNNNNNNNNNNNNNNNNNNNNNNNNNNNNNNNNNNNNNNNNNNNNNNNNNNNNNNNNNNNNNNNNNNNNNNNNNNNNNNNNNNNNNNNNNNNNNNNNNNNNNNNNNNNNNNNNNNNNNNNNNNNNNNNNNNNNNNNNNNNNNNNNNNNNNNNNNNNNNNNNNNNNNNNNNNNNNNNNNNNNNNNNNNNNNUGGAACAUAGAGCAACAUAAUGACUAGGAUUUCACACAAAUGACAGAUCAAUCAAUAUAUUGCACUGGCUGGGGGGGGGGGCUGUCAAGUGCAAAGCUAGCACUAACAGAAACAACAACGUUAGAUUUGUAUAAUACCCAACUCAACAACUUAUACAAGUCUCACAAAUUGAACAAUACCCAACUCAACACUGUACAGUACCUGGUUAAUAUGGCUCUUAAUCAGAAGAAGAAGAAGAAUCAGUGAUUUUUAUGUGAAGGGGUACAAUCUUUUUAUGUUAGUAAAAAUGGAAUGUUCACACUAAGGGCUGCAUUGAUGUAGACAAUCAGUGAUUUUUCAGGUUUGGAAAUACUAUAUGGAUGGAACACUCACACUAGUCAGGCAUGUCCGACUUACAAUUUUGACUCACUUCCAUUGCGUUUCCCAGUUAGUGGAAAAAAUGUUUUAUGGGGAGUCGUCAGUUCUUGGAACCCACUAGUUAAGCUGACAAAUUACACACAAGUACCCCAACCUAACAAACUUUCACGUGUAAUGAUAAUCCUAAUGAUAGUAGNNNNNNNNNNNNNNNNNNNNNNNNNNNNNNNNNNNNNNNNNNNNNNNNNNNNNNNNNNNNNNNNNNNNNNNNNNNNNNNNNNNNNNNNNNNNNNAACAUAGAGCAACAUAAUGACUAGGAUUUCACACAAAUGACAGAUCAAUCAAUAUAUUGCACUGGCUGUCAAGUGCAAAGCUAGCACUAACAGAAACAACAACGUUAGAUUUGUAUAAUACCCAACUCAACAACUUAUACAAGUCUCACAAAUUGAACAAUACCCAACUCAACACUGUACAGUACCUGGUUAAUAUGGCUCUUAAUCAGAAGAAGAAGAAGAAUCAGUGAUUUUUAUGUGAAGGGGUACAAUCUUUUUAUGUUAGUAAAAAUGGAAUGUUCACACUAAGGGCUGCAUUGAUGUAGACAAUCAGUGAUUUUUCAGGUUUGGAAAUACUAUAUGGAUGGAACACUCACACUAGUCAGGCAUGUCCGACUUACAAUUUUGACUCACUUCCAUUGCGUUUCCCAGUUAGUGGAAAAAAUGUUUUAUGGGGAGUCGUCAGUUCUUACCAAUAACUCAUCGUUUCUAACAACAACGAACUCAAUUUGAUGGUAAGACUGAACUGAGGCAUGCACCCAUUAUGAAAUCUGGUUUUGAGAUUUUGGGACAAGUUGACAAUGUGAAUGUAGUAUUCGACAAGACUGAAGAUCCUAAGACCGGGAAGAAAAGAUCUCGAGAUAGUGAUAAGAAGGUGAAGCAAUGAAAGAAACGAACCAUAUUCUUUGAACUCCCUUAUUGGGUGUUCAAUCUCAUGUUACACAAUCUUGAUGUAAUGCAUAUUGAGAAGAAUUUUUGUGAUAACUUGCUCUUCAUAUUGCUAAAGAUGCGACUCAUUCAACUGAUUUCAAAUUGCUGGCAAGAGGUUCUUACAAAGAACCAAACAAGUUUUCAACAUUUGAUGUGAAUGGCUAUCGAUUCCUCACUCUGGAAUGGGAGAGGAUGCUAAAAACACAUAACAGUUGUGUUUGUUAACUUUGGUACUAAAAGUUAUGCUAGUUCAGUAGAAAUUAACCCGACGGAUAGUUCAGUCCCAUGUUAUGGAAAAUGAAAGAUAUCAUUCAAUUGAAUUACUGCAGACGAUUAGUCACAUUAUUCAAAUGCAAGUGGGCUAAUACCCUAACAAACAGGGGCUAUAGGAAAGAUUAUCUUAGAUUUGAAUGUGUUACUUCUCUCAUGUAAUACACACCGGUAGUCAAGCUGGAGAUGAGCCAUAUGUGGCAGCAAGUAAUUCCAAAUGGUGUACUAUGUUUGAUAUGAAGGAGGCAGAAUGGUGUGUUCCGAUUCAUAUUAAACCGAGGGACUUGUAUGAAAUGGGUGAUGAAACCAAUUCAGGACAUGCAUCCGAGGCAUUCCAGCGGUAAGAAUUGCCUAAUGUUGAUGACGGAUCAAACAAAUCUCUCUCACGGUUUAGUGUGGAAGCAAAAUUUGAUUGAGGCAUUAGACCUUUUCUAACAUUUGAUUGUUCAAAUUAAUAGAUAUAUUUUAUAUAUAGCCAUUAGUCUCUGAGUGUAUUAUAUGUUUUCUGUAAUACCCCGACCCUAAUACAAAAAUAUUUAUGUAAAAAGUCUCUAAUCUAUCCGUAAAAAAAGGGUUUAUAUCGAUAUUAGAUAAUAAUAAUUAUAUUUGGAAAUGGUGUAAUUAAUUGCUAAUCAAAGGGGUUGAGCUCAUUAAGUUUCACAUGGUUUAAGUAUAGUUAAUCAGUUUGUAAAAUGAUCAUGGAUUUGUUAGUAGCUCAACUGGUUAACCAACCAAUCCUCAAGUCUAUUGACUAGAGUUCAAAUACUAGGAGAAGCAUUUAUUUUUAAUUUUAGGUUCAUUUUCACUCAGCCAUAAAACGACGUCGUUUUGGGACAAGUGGAUUUGGUCAUCACCGUUGUCUUCCUCACCUCCUCCGACCAGCCUUGAUACCCGACAACAAACAUUUUUAGCGCAUCCCAAACGAUUGAAGGCCGUAAUCGGCGUGUCAAACCUUGAUGCCACAUUUUAGACUUAAACCCUCCGAUGAGGGCAAUCACAUAGCUAUUUAAAGCCAUCCAGAAUCAAUUUUGAGGAGGAGCAAGCUUGAAACGGUGUUUCCUUCUUCUCUGAUGUCGAUUUGCGUCGGCAAGUUCUAAACCAACCCAAGACCUUUAAAUACCUUGGUUGACUUCGUAUUAUCAAGACAAAACCUUACGUAUCCUUCGAUUUGAGUUUUUUCGAGUUUUAGUGGUGAUUCAAGGCUCACCGGAGCCCGGGUUCGUCGUCGCCGGAUUCUGGAAAUAAGUCUGGAAAAAUGAAUUCCCGUCGGUAAAUAUUCAGUUUAGUCCCUGAACUUUCAUACUUCCAGUUUAGUACCUAAACUAUCUUAUUUUGUUCUACGCAGUCUGUAACUUUUAAAUUAUUCCAGCUGCGGCCCAAUACUUUCCAGCUAUUGCAGUUUGGCCCGAAAGUGUUGAGUUAAGCCAUAAUUGCUGCAUUCUUGGACGUUUGACCGUAUUUCGAGUCAACCCGGUUAAUUCCAGGUGGGUUGGUUUAAGGGGGUAAUAUCUUCCAUUUUAAAUGUUUAAUAUGCAAAGUAGAGUCAGAGUUAUCCAAUGUGCUUUACAUGCUAUAUGGUUAUCUUUUUAAAUGAUUUUCAAUAUUGAUAUGAUAUGAUAACUUCGGAAGACUGACCCCGAGCCACCCACCAGUUCGUGACAGGUUAUAUGGUAUUAGAAGAAUAGAGGAUCUCUUCAUCUGCCGCCAGGCUGAAGUUGGGAUAUUGAUGAGACUGUAUAUUUCUGGGAUUUGUUUUAAAAGAUGGGUCCAUUCGCUGUUUGACACCAGUUUCCGGAAAUAAGUUGUUUGGCGUAAUAUUCCAGUUUUUCUGCAAAUGUUACCAGUAUCGUUUAUGUAUAAUUUUAAUUAUAUUUUGUACUAUUUCAAAACUAUGUCAUGUGUCCCGGGACAAUUUUUCGUUUCUUUCAAAAGGUAAAACUGGGAUGUUACAUUUUCAGUCAUGACAGACGUUAUGGGAAGUAGUAGCGCUGGAGGGCAUGGAGGUGAUGAUGAUCAGUGGCGUGUAAGAGGCGUCAGAGUGGCAAGUGAGUUGGACAAUAUAAAAAGUCUUAUAAUUAAAGAGCAUGUGUAGUGAUAUUGCAAUGAGUUGGGCGAUAACUUAAUUAAAACUGCAUUAAAAUCAAUGUAAAAGUGGUUAUUGAACAUUAUUUUUCAAUUAUAAAUAUAAUCAACCGUUAUUAUAGAUAUAAAAAUAUACUCUUUGUAUAAACACCGAUAAUUGGUGAAAGUACAUAUAGAGCACAAGCGAGUGAUCCAUCCCAAAUAAUUAACGAUUAUCCUUAAAGAUAGUUCUAUCAUCUAUGUUGUUUGUUGUAGGGGAAAUCAGCCAGAGUUUUUCUAAAGCCCUGUGUUUUAAAGAAUACAUGAUUUGCUUGCUCAUUUUAGACUAAUAGAACUUUUCCUUUUAUAUGUGCAUUUUCCAAAUACCCCUCCUCCUGACUAGAAAUUUUGGUAAACACUGAGUUUGUGGUCGGUCUAUUAAAUUAUUUGAGAUUUAAUCAACAGAUGACAAAGAAUAAAUUGAUAGGGGAUGAUGCUGGAGAGUAAGAAUGGAAUAUGGAGGGCCAUAUUAAACAGAAGAAAGAAAAUUUAACCGACGGCUGACGAAUCUGGAAUUCGGGAUGAGAUGGAGGAGAGAAAGGUAUGAGCGAGGGUAGUUUGGUAAACACACACAAAAUUGUUGUUUUAUUCAGUUUUGUGUCAAAAUACAAAACAUAUUCUACUUACCAAACAAUAUUUUUUAAUUUCCCCAAAUAUUUACAAAACUUCAAUUCCUCAAUUUCUAAAUUCCAAAUUUUCUCCAUUCUGCCUUACCUUAUAACAAACGACUCCUAAGGAAAGUGAAUUGUAACAAGAUAAAGUAUAGUAGGUACCGUAAUCAUUACUAAAAUAAUAGAGACUAUGCCUCGACAACAUAGUCCAAAACUCGGAUAUCAAUCCAAAACUCAUUCCGUUUGGUCAGAUAAAAUCCGAUCAACACGGGUAAUUGACGGGUACGAGUAGAUCUGAUAUCUGUUUAUAUCAAUAACGGACGGGGAUGGAUUUGAUGAUAUCCGCGUCAUAAUUCACCCGAAAGGUACCCAUCACUUAAAAUAACUUCGUGUGACUAUUAAUACAUAUAAAAUCAACAAAAAUUAAUAGAAAAAUUCUAAUUCUAUUUAUUUUUAUGAAAAAGAAAUUCUUAUUUACUUGUUAUAUUUGAUGUACAUUGGUUGUAUGAUUACCAAUUUUUAUUUUGUAAUUUAAAAAAAUUUCAGGCAGUGUUUAUUGUUCAACAUUUGAUUUUUUUUUAUAAAAAUUUUGGUUUUAAUAUUAAUAUCUGAUUAAACGAAUAAACCUGAAACUCAUAAUAGAUGGGGAUGGUUUUCAUAUUAUGCCCAUUUAAAUAAAACAAAUAGAUAUAGAUAAACUCUAACGAAUAAACGGACUAAUGAUGAAUAUACCAAAUACAUACCCAUACUCACCCAAGGCCAUCUUUUAAAUAUAAUUUUAGUACUUACUAACUACAAUACACCACCAAGACCAAAAUGGAAGUAAAAAUAAAUAUUAAAUACUAAUAUGAGGGAAUUUGGAUUUCCGGUAAAAAAACUGAAGACUAUUUGGUGGAGACAAAAAGGGAUCUGAACCUUCCAUUUUAGGUUCAGGAUCUUAUGGAUGAGAUGGCAAAUUUAAUUCAGGGGCGUUUCGCCAUUUUUAGGGUUUCUUUGUUUUUUUCAGGUUAUUUUAGUGUUUUCAUUUAAUAGUGGUUCGAGUACAAUUGUUUUUUUAAAAUUGNNNNNNNNNNNNNNNNNNNNNNNNNNNNNNNNNNNNNNNNNNNNNNNNNNNNNNNNNNNNNNNNNNNNNNNNNNNNNNNNNNNNNNNNNNNNNNNNNNNNNNNNNNNNNNNNNNNNNNNNNNNNNNNNNNNNNNNNNNNNNNNNNNNNNNNNNNNNNNNNNNNNNNNNNNNNNNNNNNNNNNNNNNNNNNNNNNNNNNNNNNNNNNNNNNNNNNNNNNNNNNNNNNNNNNNNNNNNNNNNNNNNNNNNNNNNNNNNNNNNNNNNNNNNNNNNNNNNNNNNNNNNNNNNNNNNNNNNNNNNNNNNNNNNNNNNNNNNNNNNNNNNNNNNNNNNNNNNNNNNNNNNNNNNNNNNNNNNNNNNNNNNNNNNNNNNNNNNNNNNNNNNNNNNNNNNNNNNNNNNNNNNNNNNNNNNNNNNNNNNNNNNNNNNNNNNNNNNNNNNNNNNNNNNNNNNNNNNNNNNNNNNNNNNNNNNNNNNNNNNNNNNNNNNNNNNNNNNNNNNNNNNNNNNNNNNNNNNNNNNNNNNNNNNNNNNNNNNNNNNNNNNNNNNNNNNNNNNNNNNNNNNNNNNNNNNNNNNNNNNNNNNNNNNNNNNNNNNNNNNNNNNNNNNNNNNNNNNNNNNNNNCGUGAUUUUUUACUCGUUUUUUAUUUGAUAUACAUAUUGUUUCUUGACUUUGUAUGUGAAAGCAAAACGACACCCCAAAUAAACAUUAGUAAUUAAAAAAUUGUAGUACAAUACAAGACAAGAAACGAGUACAAAAUUUGAUUCCAAACAAGUACAGUUUAGAAAAACCAGUACCGGUGAAAAACUAAGUACAACAAGAUGACUAUUAAAAGAAUUGAAAAAAGCCAAUAUCCAAAAUAUAGUUCCUACAAAGGUGAUUUUAUGGCCGAAAAUUUUCUUUGAAACGGAGCUCUGGUGGUCGAGAAAAUUUUUCUGAAAUUAUUUGGUCCGACUUAAAAUUGUUAUUGUUUUAAAAGUUAAUUUUUAAAAUGACGUAUUUACUCCUAUUCAACUAAAAGUAUGUUGGAUUGAAUGUCCAAAAUCAACGGUUCAGAUUUAUUUGCUGUUACUCAAUACCACUUAUUGAGCAUGACCCCUCUUCUUCGAUCGAUAGCUGAAACGGUAUUAGAGUUUCGAUCAUCUGAAUAGAUGAAUGCGAUUUGAACACUGAGAGAAGAAGAUUGUUAUUCUUCAUAUUGCUGUGAACGAAGUCGUUAAUUGCAAGGAUAUAAAUGGGCCUGCAGUCAACACAGCCCAAUCACUUAUAACAAUAGACAAAGUCCAAUUGAUUUUCGCAACAGUCUUUGUUCUCACUUUGUUAAGAAACGAAGAACUAUAACUGCAAAUGGAGCUCGAUGAGCAUUAACACAAAAACAGAGAAUAAAUAAACCUAACACACAACAAAUUAAUGAGGUUCCGCCAAAGACAAAAUAGACUUUGUCGUCAAUCCUCGUUCAGAGGUCUCCCUCUCAGGGUUUGAAAGUUUUCGUUAUUAAUAACGUAAGUGUUACAAGCUACAAAAUCACUUUAACCCAACCCAAUGAAUGCUCCCUACAACACCUCUAGCUUCCCGCUAAGUGGAACAAUUCCCUAACUUGACACUCUAAACAAACUACCCAGUACUCGUAAGCUCCUUGCUAACUUGUACUCUUUUUUCCGGUAUAAUCUCUAUAAAUCAACUCUCAAUUUGUCAGCAUUGUGUCAGGUUCAUAUUUAUAGGGCUCUUCACGUGUUUCAUCUUGAACCUGCAGCUGUAAAGAUAAUCACAUGAAGGGUUAAAUAAUAUAUUUGAUUGAUUAUCUUCCCAGACCCCAACCCAUAAUAAAACCCUUUGUUUUAUUUAUCCUGAUUUACUAUCCAGCAGGUUGAUAAGUCUUUAAGUUAUUUCCGACUAAGAUAAUAUGACCCAACAAUCUCUCCCUGGGUCGAAGAAUGUCUCAACCUUGCUAAUCAAUCCCUUCUUGUCAUUGACAAAACAUUUGUUAAUCAGAUAGACUGAAAGCCUGACCAGAGUGUUACUCCCCUUCAGAUUGGACAUCUUCUUUUAGCACAAACAUGUGCCUGCAAACACCAACAUAUGGUUUUGAAGAAGCAACUUUUAUAAUCCAAAAUAGCCAUACUAAAGAAAACACAAGAGCAACACUCAAAACAAACACCAAGACACAGGAACUCAGGCGGAAACUAAAGGAACUAAAUACCAAACAUAGAAGAACAAUAAAAGAGCUCUUAGACUACUUCAUCAUCUUAUGGAUUGGCAGUCUAGAUGUUCAGGCGACGAGUCACUUCAUCGGCAAGGUCAUCAAUGCUGACUGAUCCUCCCCCUGAGACAUUACUCCAUCCAAUUUCUCGAAGAGGCUGUUGCGGACCAAGAGUAUCAAAGGGAGAUACUGCCAAGUACUUGUGAUGAAGACGAAUCCAUAGAUUUGUCAAGAGAAGAGAGAUCUCUGGUCCAAAUGGGAGAGCCCCUGUUAUGUUUGGAUUGCUAUAUUGGACCAUUGUAGUGAACAUGAGACGAGAGAAAUCAGUUUGGAUGUUCUUUAAUGCAUAGUGCAUGAUCCAGAGAUACGACCCUCGGAACGAGGUAGAAACAUCCAAGAAAUAAAGUAGUGUAGGACUCCAGAUUUCCCAGAAACUUUGAGAAUGUUGCGAGUGAUGAGUCCGUAACCGGCAGCCUGGUCUAGAGAGACAAAGUUUCAUCUGGAUUGAAAUUAUACCUUUGAAAAUCGACCUCAGAGAAGAUAACAGCACUGUCGCAUGGUAUUCGAAGAUUUAAAGCAAGAACUUCAGGAGAAAUAAAAAUGAAUGUGACCAUCAACAUACAUGCUAAAGCAUCCUUGAGCCAUAUAACCGUGAAGUUGAAGAUUUGCAUAGAACUGGGCAACAACGUCCCGAAAGAAGAGUCGUAGUCGGUUGAACACUAAGGAACUCCAACCAAGAUUUCUAAUCAGAGAAGCAACAUUGAGACCAUAUUGACCAAAGUCAACAGGGUUAAGCUGCAAAUGAGUUAAAAUAGGUCGAGGAGAAAAUAACCUAGCAUAAAUUGCCCUGUGAGUGGAGCUCCGGAUGAGAUCGUUGGUGUACUAAACGUAAGGACCAUGAGAGCCAAGAAAGGGAUUAGAGAAACUCAUGAUGAGAAGAGCAGAUGAGAGUGCUAAAAGUGCUAAAAGAAAUAGGCCUUUAAUAUAAGUUCAACUUCUCUCUUUAAGAGAGGCUACGCCUGUAGACAUGAGCAUCCCAACAGAUCUACAUAACAUUAAAUACCAUUCAAUAGGCAGAGGUUUGGUAAAGAUAUCAGCAAUUUGAAACUCAGUGUCAACAAAAUCAAUUGCAAUUACUUUGCUAGCAACAAGAUCACGAAUAAAAUGAUGCUUUAUAUCAAUGUGUCUUUAGUUCUAGAAUGAUGUACUGGAUUAUGAGUAGUAUUUAUGACAUUCGUAUUAUCAUAAAGCAUGGGGGUGGUCAAGAGAUGCAUACUGGAAUCAUUGAGCUAAGUUCGCAACCAAACGAGUUGUGUACAAUAGCUACCAGCCGCUACAUACUCUACUUCUCCUGUAGAAAGAGCGACAGAGCUUUGUUUUUUGCUGAACCAUGAGAUCAAGGAGUUGUCGAUGAACUAACAAGUUCCUGAGGUGCUUUUUGGUCUGUAAGACUUCCUGCAAAGUCAGCAUCUGAAUAGCCAAUAAGAUCAGGACAGGAAUCGCUGGUGUACCAUAGACCAAGAUCCAUUGUCCCUGGUAAGUAACAAAAAAUCCUUUUAACUAUAAUGAAAUGACUUUCCUUAGGAUUACUCUAAAAUCUUACACAGACUCCAACACUAAAUGAAAUGUCCGGUCUGCUAGCUAUAAGGUACAGAAGAGAACCUAUCAUGCCUUGAUAGAGCUUUUCAUUUACAACUGUUCCUCCUUCAUCAGAGCCCAAUUUAAUGGAAGUAGACAUAAGCGUCGAACAUGAUCUAUAAUCAGAGAGACCAAAUUUUUCUAUCAUGGUACGAUAGUAUUGAUAAGGCUAGAAUUUGUAGCAAUUAUCUACCCUUUUAUGCAUGUUUUUUGAGUGAUUAUUAGUUUGUUCGAGAUUCAUUCCUAUAUGAUUUCGUGUUUUGGCAUCACAUGCCUAGAUCCGCUUAUUUGGACCGUUUCGGUCCAUUUAAUGUGUUCUUUGUAGUAUUUGUCCCCUACAGGUACUUCAGAGAUAGGUGGUAUGGCUAUGAAGCCAAGGACGUAAAGUAUAGCACGAUUGGAGCUCAAACGGUAGAGUGAGAAAAGGAAUAGAGAAGCAAAGGGACUGCACGCCGUGCAGCACUGCACACUGUGCAGCCCUAAAUCAUGUUGAAAAUGUCAGCCUCAAAACGUAGGAACGGUGUGCACCCCUACACCACUGCAUACCGUUCCGCCCUUUUUGGUUCGAGGAAGUUUAGAGAUUAGGAGGUGCAUGGCGUGCACCACUGCAUGUCGUUCCCUUUCAUUUGCUAUGCAGAAAGAAUGAAGAUAGGGAGGUGCAUGACGUGCACCCCCCAAUUUCAGCAUCUUCUUAUAAAAGGGCUGAUUUUGAGGAAAGAGAAAGACAAGCCCCCAAACACGAAUUCUCUCGAUUUUCCCGACUUUCUUCUCCAAAAACCAGCACAAAACCUAUCUUAGAAGCUCAAUUGAAGAUCCAAGAGUUCCUAAUAAAGAUUGAAGCUAGGAUUGAUGUUAGGAUUGAAGCUAGAAGACCCAAAUCCAUGAUUGGAGGAAGAACAAUCCAUGAUCUCUUCGACAAAAUGAUGGUUAGGGUUUCUUUUGAUUUGUCUUCUUCUAGAGUUAUGAGUAACUACAUCUGUAGAGAUUCUUGGUUGAGAUGUAGGAUUUGAGCCAUGAUACCUGUCUUGAACGUUUAAAAACGACGAUUGUGGAUAUUUGGAUAUGAGUGAAAGAUUGUUUUGAUUGUUUUGAUUGUUUUGUUUUCAACCUAAUUCUUGUUACGGCUUGAAUUAGGUCAAAUUUAUGAAAUUCUUUGUUUGAUAGAAUUAGGAAUUCCUAAGAUUAAUAAUCAAGGAUAGAUGAAAAGUUAUCGGUGGGGUAAGCCGAUAACCCAAUUCUUCCUUUUGUGUUUCUUCUAGUUUUAAACGUUAUUCAUCUUGUAAUUGGCGUGUAGUUAUCAGUAGUUUAGGCAUUGAUGUACCAAGUUAACGCUAUUUUCAAUUACUCAUGAUUUCUUUUAAUUUCGGAAGUCUCGUGGUGUCUUUUAAUUCCGGAAGAACACCUUAUCACUUUGUAUUUCUUCUCGGUGUUUAUUACCUACUAGCUUGAUUAAGGUUAUUUCUACCUUAGUUAGGAAGCCAGUAAUGGUAAUCUGAGUGCAUGAUCAUGCCACGAAUUCAUACGAGUGAUAGGAGGAUUCCUAUUAUUCAUUCAAAGUCCAACAUUUGUUCAUUUCGAAUGCGUUUAGGAAGUUAAGCUUGAUGACUUAUCUCUUCCAAGAACUCGUUUUCUCCCGUUGACUCAACCUUUGAAGUGCUAGUUUUAAUUAAAUAUUAGAAUAAUUAAAACUCAAACCCAAUUGUUAAGAGAUGAAGAAUUAUAACUGCAAAUGGAGCUCGGUCAGUAAUAACACAAAGACGGAGAAUAAAUAAACACAAGACACGGCAAAUUAACGAGGUUACGCCAAAGCCAAAAUAGACUUUGUCGUCAAUCCUCGCUUAGAGGUCUCCCUCUGAGGGUUUCAAAGUUUUCAGUUGAUUAAUGUCGUGAGCGUUACAAGCUAUGGAAUCACUUUAAACCAACCCAGAUGAUGCUCCCUGCAACACCUCUAUCUCCCUGCUAAGUCGAAUGAUUCUCUAACCUGACACGUACCAGACGUGCUUUUGCGAUCAAUUACAUUGCCAGCAAAAUCAGAAUCGGAAAAGCCUAUCAAGUCCAUGGAUCCCUCAGCAGGAUACCACAGUCCCAAUUCAAGAGUUCCAGAAAGAUAUCGAAAAAUUCUUUUUACAAUCUUUAUAUGAGUGUCGUGAGGUUUACUUUGAAAACGAGCACAAACACCUACACUAUAUGCAAUGUCAGGUCUGCUGGCAGUAAGAUAGAGAAGAGAUCCUAUCAUUCCUCGAUAUAAUUUCUCAUUAACAGGUUUUCCAGGAGCUUCAUUAUGUAUGAGUAGCACAAUUUUUUAUUAAGGGAUAGUCAAACUUGGUUAGCGUAUUUUUACAGUAUUUAGUCUAACUUAGAAAAAUACCAAAUUGAGUUUGCUUGAUUUGCAAUCCAAGAAAGGAAGAGAGUUCCCCAAUUAAGCUCAUUUCAAAUGCAUCCUGUAUUGUUUUACUAAAUUCCAUACAUAGACUUUCGUUUUGUGAACCAAAAAUAAUAUCAUCAACAUAUACUUGAACAAUAAGAAGACAAGAUUCUACUGUUUUUAUAAAAAGAGUGUUGUCCACUGAACCUCUGGUAAACCCGUGAGAAAUUAGAAAUGAACUUAGCUUGUCGUACCAGGCCCUAGGAGCCUGUUUUAAACCGUAUAGAGCCUUAUUUAGUUUAUACACGUGAUGAGGAAAUGCAUGAUUUUCAAAACCAGGUGGUUGAGAGACAUAAACUUCUUCUUGUAAAUCCCCAUUUAGAAAGGCACUUUUAACAUCCAUUUGAUAAAGCUUGAAUCGAUUUAUACUGGCAAACGCACACAAAAGACGAAUGGCUUCUAGUCUAGCUACUGGAGCAAAGGUUUCAUCAAAAUCAAUACCUUCCUCUUGAUCGUAUCCUUGUACUGAACUCUUGAUUUACGAAUUCUCCACCAUUAUCACUACGAAUUUUAACAAUAGUUUGCUGUUUUUCAUUUUGAGUUUUGUUUCUAAAUACCCAUUUAGUUCCUAAAAUUGUUCUAUUCGUAGGCUUAGGAACAAGACUCCAGACACACAACCUAUCAAACUGAACCAUCUCCUCAUUCAUAGCUAAAUUCCAAUCAUCAUCUAAUAAGGCUUCUUUCUCAUUUUUUGGUUCUAAAAUUGACACAAAUGCAGAAUGAGAUGUUUGGGAGCGAGUAAUUAGACGAUCGUUAAUAUUUCCGAUUACCUGGGGAGGGGGGGGGCUCUUCUGUAUGGGGUCAUGAAUUUUAGAUUUGAAACUACUUCUAACUUGCUUUCCCUUAGCACAAGCAUCACAGAUUUUGUUUUUAGCAUAACUUAACUUGGGAAGACCCCUGACCAGGUUUAAGCUACUUAGUUUAGCUAGUAUCCCUAUGCUUACAUGCCCUAACUUUUGAUGCCAUGCAAACUGUUCAUCCACUUUCAUUGAUACAAGUGUGUGAUUGUUUGAGGGGAUGGUGUCUCACUGUUUCCAUUAUUGAGAGUGUUGUCUUCCUGAUGUGUGCUCAGCUCUGCUUCGGAGUUAUCACUGUGGCCAGAAUUUGUUUGUGAUUGAAGCCUGGGAGCAUAAUUAGUAUAAGACAGUUCUAAAGUAUCAUCAUUAGCUCCCUGUAACUCAAGAACAGAAUUAGUAUUCUCAUCAAAUAUCACAUUAACUGAUUCUUCCACUUUAUUAGACUGCUUAUUGAAGACAAGACACAAUUCAUCAAUGUUUUCAAUUAUUUUUAAGUUAACUAGAUAGAUAUUUCCCUUUUUAUAUCCUUUGAAAAGAACAGAGACUCUAUAAGCUCGACUGUGAGCAGAGUAGCCUAGAAAUAUCCCUUCAUCUGAUUUAGCGUCAAAUUUACCUAAGUGAUCUUUAGUGUUAAGGAUAAAGCAUUUGCAUCCAAAAGGCUUAAAAUACCCUAUACUAGGUUUUUUAUUUUUCCAGAGCUCAUAGGGAGUUUUAUUAAACCUGGAACGAAUGAGGGCCCUAUUUGUAACAUAGCAGGCUGUGUUAACAGCUUCUGCCCAUAAUUUUGGACUAAGAGCAAAGUCAUUUAGCAUAGUUUUAGCGAUUGCUAUUAAGGUUCUAUUUUUUCGUUCAACUACUCCAUUUUGCUGAGGCCAUCAGCCAGAUAACAGACCUGCAUCAACACUAGUCAUUUGGUUUUUUGCAUCCAACGGCCUUGGAUGUUGAAUUUUUAUUAGCAUAAAACAUACAUUCAGCUAUUGAGUGAUUAGAUGUGUGACACACAUGACACCAGUUAUUAUAAUCUAUAGCAGUUUUACAGAAUGACCUUAGUUCUCUAUAUCUAGGCAGAAAGUAAUUAUGACGAUAGUAAGGCCAUCUCCUUAAUUCUCUUUUAAGAACUCCAUUCUGUCUAAGAACAUUUCUAAGAUUAUUUUUAACAUUCAUAGUUUUCUGUUUGGCAAGUCUAAGGUGUUCUUUAGCAUUUUCAGAUUUUUGUAUUUCAGCUGUAAGUUUUCUUUUUAGGUCUGAGUACCUUACUCUAAAUUCAGCAAACUCAGAAGUUAUCUCUUCUAUAGUCUCAAGCAACUCUUCUUCAUUUUCAGAGAAACUAUCUAAAUUAGAAUCAUCAAUUUUCUCAUCUGCACUUAGAUUGUUUAGAGAUACCUCAAUUUUUUCGUUUACAGUUGCUUUGAUUUCUGAAGUUUCUUCAUGUAGUUCCUCAGCUAUUGCCAUGAGUGCAUGCUCUUCAUCAUCUGACGCUUCACUUUCAUCUUCACUUGCACUCCAAGUUGCUUGGAAGGCUUUCUCCUUAGUAGUGCAUUCAGCUCUAAGAUGUCCCAUCUUUCCGCACCUGAAACAUAUUGACGAACUAGCAGUACCCUCUUUUCUAGGUUUAAUACCAUUUCUCAGAGAAAAAACCAUUAUCUUAGGUUCAUCAGAUUUUUCAGCAUCUUUAUUUCUGAAGUUGCUACGUUGUUUUCUUAAGCGAAUCAUUUUACUGACCUUUUUUAUAAUAGUGCAAGCUCAUCAUCAUCAUAAUCAUCUAAGUUAUUAGUACUAGUAACUAGACUAGCAAUUUCUGUAUUAGUAUCUCUUUUUAAUAUUUCCUCAUGAGUAAGAAGUGAUCCAAGCAGCUCAUCUAGCUUAAUAUCAGCAUGAUUCUUUGUUUCCUCAAUGGCUGUGACCUUAGGAAGCCAUUGACUAGGCAAACACCACAAAAUCUUUCUGAUUAUAUCCUCAUUUUCAUAGAUUUUUCCUAGUCCUUCCAAUUUAUUGAUUAUAUUCUGAAAUCUAUCAGCCAUAUCUCUAAUAGUUUCACCAGGCUCCAUUUUAAAAAGUUCAAAUUCCUGUUUCAGCAUACUAAUUUUAGUGGUCUUUACUAGGUUAGUUCCUUUAUAGGUUAUACAUAACUUGUCCCAGAUUUCUUUAGUAGAUUUACAAGUAGAUAUCCUAUUGAAUUCUUCCUUUCCUAGAGCACAGUACAUAAGAUUAAUUGCUUGAGAAUUUAGUUGCACUUUUUUAAUGUCAUCAUCUGUCCAUUUAUCAAUGUUAGCUUUUACCUCUUGUGGACCAUUGACUAUGAGAACCCAUAGUAAUGGGUUGACAGUCUUGAUGAACAAUUCCAUACGGUUCUUCCAGUAUCCAAAGUGAGCACCUUCAAAUCUGGGAGGGCGAUUUGCUGAAAAUCCAUCUGCCAAAAAAAUUGCUCCCUGUGACUCACUCAUCAUGAUUCAACUACAAGCAGCUACUCAAUUACUAAGGAUCAGAAAUCACCUGGAUUAGUACUUGCCGAGGGUUGAUUCGAUAAGCUAACCAGCUCUGAUACCACUUGUUGCAAUCUGAUCCUCGUGCUUUCAAUAUCAGUUGAGACUGUUUCAAUAGAAGAAGAUGAUUAAGCUCCUUAUAUAACUCUAGAGUUAGUUCAGUACUUGAAUGAACUUAACAUAGAAUGCAUGCAACACAAGAUCACAAAUUCAAGACAUGCAUGCAACAUUAACUCUUCAGAAGCUUCAAUCUCGAUUAACAUAUGCAGAAGCAGUUUAUUAGGUUGACAUAAUCAGCAAUGGAUAUUCUCAGUGACAAGGAACUAAAUAAGUAACUUUAAAUGACAACUCGACAACCUUAAACACACUGAGUCUUAAACGUCAAUUCGUGGCCCUUGAUUGACUCUGUUAGGCUCCAGCUUCACUCCAGCUUCCAGGGUUGUCCAAUCAAGCCUUCAAUCGAUGUAGCUCCAGCUCCAGUCGUGCAAAAAUCCUUCAGACGAAACUCCAAGCUUUGACGUGUUUAUUUCCAGUUGAGAAGCGCAACUUGGACGAUUUGCAGCCUCUAGCUUUUAUUGUUGCCGUGGCUUGCUUUCAUUUAAUGAGGCUAGUGAGAUCGAAGCUUCCUUCUUUCCAAACUCGACUUCGAGUUCUUCGCAUCGCGGCCGCCUUCUCUUUUUGAUUCUGUAAGUCAAAAAUACCAAUUAGGGUUAGGAUCAAUUCACGACACUAAUGGUCGCUGCUUCUCCUGAGUGUCAGCUUGGGUUGGGCUUCUGUCAGAGUCUGUGUGGGCUGUUCAUGGGCCGAAACUUGAGCCUUAUCACUCAGGCUUGAUUUAUGUCAACACAAAGGAGGAACAACGGUUGGGUCACUGAUAGAGAUAUCUUCUCUGGAGCAUAUCAAGAUAAAGUAUAGUAGGUACCGCAAUCAAUGAUGGAAGAAACUCCAGGACUUUAAGGGGUAUCAUUUUUUGUGUUUGUGUUGCCGCUCGUCAAGUGUGACGGUUGAGAGCUAGGGAGAGUGCUCUGUUUUCGUCCAACUUGUUGCUGCACCAAUCAUGGGGUUCGGUAAAAAAGUUUUUCACUGUGUAUCGGACCUUUCCUUAUACUAGUAAUGAGUAAUUGCACUACUAGUAAAACUUGAUUGAGGAAGAUAGAAGGAUAUGAAGAAGAAUAGCUUUUUGGAAGCAAUGUGGUCUAAGGCUGUUAUAGGGGAAACCACCUUGAGUAGUAAUGAAAUUCACAACUUUGUCAAAAUCUUUGUUUGUUUGUUCAAAAUGAGUUUGGGGAAUUGGAAAUCAAAAUUCAUCUAGACCCACAUUUAAGCAAAAAAUAUUCUAUUUUCGGAUAUGUUUGUAUAAACCAACAUUUUUAACUUCCUCUGCAAGGACCCACUUACCUCCCUGCUGGAAGUAAAUUCCACUCACACCCUCCCAUUUCUUUUCUCCUUUUGCACAGAUGCAUCUCGACCUCAAUAUUUUCUUUACUCAAAUCAAGAGAUUUAAAAUAUAGUAUAGGAUUAAGAAUAAACUAGAGAGCGAUAAUGGUGGGAGAAGAUGACAUUAGUUCCAUCUCCGACACUGGUACAUCCGAUGGCAUCAGUUCAAUCUCUAGUGUCUACGGCGCCGAUACAUCUAAUAUAAGUGAUAUUGGUGCUAUUUAGACAGCAAAAUAUUCGAAAAAUGAACUUCCCAAGUUUUACUAAAUCCUUUGAUCUACAAACUACCCUUUAUUAAUUCCAAAUAUUUUCUCAUUGAUCUACAAAAUAAUCUUUACGUCUAUCUUCUCUGUAUCAUUUAGAAAAGAUAGACGUAAAAAGAAAUAGAGACGGUAGAGGAGAAACGGAAUAAGAAAGAAAGCUAAAAUAAGUAAUGAAUGGUGGAGGUAAUUUGAUUAUUAUACAAACAACUCAUUUUUAUCCAAAUAUUUAUGAUAGUGAAAUUUUUUAUAAUUCACCUCUAUUAAACUGUGGAUUUCAUUUUUCUUCAAAAUAUAUAUAAAUUUCAAUUUCUCAAUCCUCAAAUCUCUAAUUAUCUUCCUCUUAUUUUCCCUAAAGCAAACAUGACCUAAAUUAUUUAGUUCAAAAAUCGAAAUUUGAUUUGAUCAAUCAAUCCUCAAUCUAGAAUUAAAUUUAUAUUUUUUUUGUGAUCCAAAAUCAAAUAUGUGAUAUACCUAUAUAGAAAUGGGAGAGUGAGACUCGUGGGCCGGAUUGAUAAAUACUUGCAUUACUUUUCAUCCAAUUAUUUUUCCAAUAUUCAUCAGCUGGUUUUUCAGUAAUUUCGCCAGUAGCAAGGAGCCACUUGGAGAAGUAGCAAAACGACGUCACCGAAUCCAGGACUGACACGUAUCACCUCGGUAAUCGCUAGUAACAUACCCACCAUUCCGGAUUUCGUUUCCUACAAAUAUCUACACUGCUCAGUACUCAAUCAUUCCACACGUUCCUCACCUCACUACCAUGGAUCGCUCAACCAAGUUUUCUCUCCUCCUCUUUCUCUCGAUCCUCUUCUCCUCUUCCGCCGCCCUCUCCGUAUCGGAGAUGGUUCCGGAGGAGGAGCCUCUGAUUCGACAGGUAGUUUCCGGGAUCGAGGACCACCUCCUGGACGCCGACGGCCACUUUGCCAGCUUCAACACAAAGUUUNNNNN
Molecule: long non-coding RNA, 69819 nt
Filed under: Linum usitatissimum (flax)
Lineage: Eukaryota; Viridiplantae; Streptophyta; Magnoliopsida; Malpighiales; Linaceae
Description: long non-coding RNA (LUSI_LNC007894)
Source: RNAcentral